GCGUGUAACUUACAGGUUGUGAGCUUGUUUUUGCAGAGGAACAAGGAUGAUGAGGCGAUGACACCGGUCCGACGCUCCAGCAGGCUGCGGAGUGUCAAGUCACCCGAGGCCGAGUCUAGUUAGUUAGUGCUCUGACUAACUACCAUUCAGGGCACCUAACUCGUCGUAGCUGCUGCUUGCCCAGUUCCACGCACCUUGUUAGACAGACACAGCUUUCUGCUGUCAUUUUCUGCAAAAUUGAUUGGUAACUAGUAGUAGGAUUUAUGUUUGUGGUUUGAGAUUGCUUAGAUCUGCAUAAGUGAUUGUGGACAAUUCCCUUGUAUUGCUUCUCUGAUUGAGAUGAAUAUUCUUAUCAAACUCUGCUGGUGUUGUGUUUCAUACUGAGAGUUGAUCCCAAUACAUUAGAACUAUUUUUUAAUGGUUGUGCUUCAAGUGUAAUGCUGUGUGGACAAGGCAUCAUCUGUUGCUUUGUGACUUUGUUUAGCCCUUCUAUAUUCAUAUUACUCCCUCUGAGUAUUAGUUUACCGAGGGAGUUUUCUUAAUAUGCCGAAAGUAUGUAACCUUUUCACACGAAGGAUGCGAGAUUUUGAAGAAUUCCUUCCUGUCAUGAAACAUACGAACAAAGUAAAAUGUUAAUCUAGACAAAACAGCUGAUUUAGCGUUGUCAGGUGGGCACGUUUGUCACCUAUCUCCAUAGUAGUUUGGACUUGACAUCAAAACUGUAUGUGUGCAUCUUGUAUUUCUCGUUUGCAAAAUACGCAAUACUGUGAUUUUCAAGCAUAUACUCCCUCCGUUCCCAAAUACUUUCUAGUCAUUUCAAAUGGACUCAACAUACGGAUGUAUGUAGACAUAUUUUAAAGUGUAGAUUCACUCAUUUUGCGCCGUAUGUAGUCACUUGUUGAAAUCUCUACAAAGACAAGUAUUUAGGAACGGAGGGAGUAGAAUCUCUCCUCUAUUUGCCUCACUUUCAGAGGAUUUUAACGCUUUCGAACUGUGCAUCAGCAAAGUUUCUAACAUGGGUAAUAAAGAAAUGACUAUUGCAUUGUUUGAAGCUUCUAUAAGAACCAGGCAGCGAAUCAAUGAACCGGCGGUCUUAUCGAUAAAAACCCACGACAACCUUACCGGUUUGGUCACCGGUCCAAUCUUUAAAAUAUACUCGAUAGUACAAUGGAAAGACAACAAGACACAAGACGACUGUCAAAAACUAAAAUUGCAUGGAAAGACAACAAGACACAACAAGACACAAGACAACAAGUCUGUAAGAGCUUGAAAAAUACACCAAAAUGCAUUGAACCAACGGUAAGGGGGACGGACACAUGCAAAUGCCCUCCUCAUAUAUCAGGCUUUGAAGACCGCAAUAGCCACUCGUCGUUGAGGCAUCACUCCACACGGCACAUACUUGAAAUCCUUCAUAACCAGUCCAAAGGCUUGGAGAAACUGGGAUAUGCCACAAAACAACCAUCACCAUCACCGUCGUCACCUCGUCGUUGCCGCCGGAGAAACGAAAACGUAAGGGAAACAAGAAUAUACUUGACCUAAAAAAAUGAAAGGUACGGGUCCCCACUCCUCUGGCAGCCGCCGAACAGCCGGGCAGGAAAGAGAUUCCAAAGCCCCCUGCUUGCAAAUUGUCGAGAUUCACAUACUUCGUUGCAUGUUGGUAGCACUUGUUUAAAAAUGAUUGUACACGAAAUGGUGUAUCACCUACAAACAACAUGUCGACUAUGAAAUGAUAGAGCGUCCAACCCCUGAUGUCUGAACCUUUUUUUUAUCGCACACCAAUCUUUUACUCCCUCCGAAUGCUCUUAUAUUAUGGGAAGGAGGGAGUAUUUUUUUUUUACAAUCAUUAUCACGCACCAAUCACUAGCAAAAGAAGUGAUAAAAAAGAACUCAUGAAAAAAGGACAAUUUGCUUUGGGAAAAGCGGGUAGCAAUCAGAGGCGGGAAAAAAAACUCAAACGGCCGGCCGUCCCCACAUGCCAGGGACAGCCCGCCCAAUCCGUCUUCCACUUGCCAGGUGGGAGUGGGACCCACCUGUCAUUGGCGCCACCACCCUGCGCAGAGCCACACUAUACUUCGUCGCAGGAAGGAGUCCGCCCCUCGCAUCGUCCGCCCACCACCAUCGCCGCCGCCGCCGCCUCGGAAACCCUAGGCCCGAUGGCCACCUCCGCCGCCGCCAGCUCGUUCCCCUCCUACCUCUCCCCGCCCCCCGCCUCCCGCCGCAGCGGGGCCCGUCCGGCCCUGGCGGCGGCGGCGGCGGAGGGGGUGAUGGACGUGGUGUCGGAGGCGGAGCUGAGGGAGAAGGGGUUCAUGGGCAUGCGGAAGACGAAGCUCGUGUGCACGGUGGGCCCGGCGUGCGUGGACGCGCUGCCGGCGCUGGCGCGCGGCGGGAUGGGCGUGGCGCGGGUCAACCUCUGCCACGGCGGCCGCGACUGGCACCGCGCCGCCAUGCGCGAGGUGCGGAGGCUCAACGACGAGGAGGGCUUCUGCGUCUCCCUCAUGGUCGACACCGAGGGCUCCCAGCUCCUCGUCGCCGACCACGGCGGCGCCGCCUCCGUCAAGGCCGAGGUAUGCCGUGCCGGGCAUGCUGUUUUCUGCAGCUGCGUCAGUCAGAUUCAGGCGCUACGCAUGGGUGUGCUCGUGCCGUGGUUUUUACUUUGUUGUGCUGUGUUUGACUUUUGCGCUGCUGUGGAGUAAUCUGAUCAGGGAUCGUGCAGUGACCAGAAGUAAAAAAUUAUACUCGAUCUAGGAGAAGGUCAUAUUAAUCUCUAGUCUUGUCUGGGGAAUUGGGACUCAGUUUUAGACAGCACCACUAAGCUACUGACAAUAUUCUGCGACAGCAUCACUAGAUUCUCGAAAUUUGAUUAUGGUACUCCCUCCGGUCCUUUUUACUCUGCAUAUUAGGUUUGACCGAAGUCAAUCUCAUUCAACUUUGACCAAGUUUAUACAAAAAAUUAUAGACAUUCACAUAACAACACCAAUAUCAUUAGAUUCAUCUUAGAAUAUAUUUUCAUAUUAUAUUUAUUACAUAUUAUAGAUGCUAAUAAUUUCUAAUAUAAAUUUGGUCAAACUUAGCAAAGUUUGACUUUCAGCAAAUCCAAUGUGCAGAGUAAAAAGGACCGGAGGGAGUAAUAAGGAAGUUUGUUUCGCUCACUAAGUGGUAACUGCACAUGAUGACUAAUAAGAGAAACAAACUGUAAUGAGAUUUUUUUUUGGAGAAAGUCAUAUUAAUCUCUAGUUUUGUCUGGGGAAUUGGGACUCAGUUUGGUAGAUAGCAUCACUAAGCCACCGACAAUAUUCUGCGACAACAUCACCAGAUUCUUGAAAUGUGAUUAUGGUAAUAAGGAAGUUUGUUUCGCUCACUAAGUGGUAAGUGCACAUGAUGACUAAUAAGAGAAACAAACUGUAAUGAGUUCCAUAAGAAACUGUACCGAGAAACAAAUUUGCAUCCAUCAGAUUCGGGCGCUACAUAUGGGUGUGCUGGUUUCGUGGUUUGUACUGUGUUUGACUUUCUGCUGUGGGGUAGUCUGAUCACAGAUCAUGCAGUAACCAGAACUCCAGAAGUAAAAGGUUCUACUCGAUCUACGAGAAAUCGGGGCUCAGUUUGGUAGACAAUAUCGCUAAGCCACAGACAAUAUUCUGCGAUAACCGAGCCGUAAUUUUCUUUUUGUGUAACAACAACUCAUUGUGUCGCCAAACACAUUGGCAGUAACUAUCAUGUUGUGAAAAUAGAGUCCAAGAUCAAACAAUUGAUAUUCAGUAUACAGGCACUAUGUCUAUGCUUGCUGAUCUUCUCACUAAAGGCUACCAGCAUGUCUCUUUUGAACACAUAUUGCUGGCAUGUGCCUAGUGGGAAUCCUAUAAUUAUUGGUCAUUGGACAGUCAUGAUAACGAGAUUCUCAAAAUUCGAUUAUGGAAAUAAGAAAGUUUGUUUCCCUCAUCAAUUGCACAGGAUGACUAAUAAUAAAAGAAACAAACUGUAAUGAGGGCCAUAAGAAGGUAGUAUGGCUAUACAGUAUACACACAUAAAACCCCUAAAUACCAUAAGGUAGUUCGGCCAUAAUCUACUCACAUCAAUAUGAAUUAACCUGAGUUUGGCGAAGCCAUCUUUCUAGUCAAUGUAGUAGAAGAAGAUGAGCCGAUCACGAACCUGGUGAGUUUGCUGACAGUGUGGCUAUUUCAAGUCAAUGGAAAGCACUCUCCAGAUUGGUUUGGAGUGAUGCAAGAUUGGGAGCACUUGUAACCUUGAUUAAUUUUGUGGUUUCAAGUCCAGGGCCACCUAUUCCAUGCUCAUUAAUUAAUUAGUUAAUCCCCAAUGACAUUUUUAAUCUCACAAUUACUUAUGCUACCUUUUAGGUCAUAGUUAACUUAGUCAUUUGAUUAAAUUAUCAUCUAACAGUGGGAUCCCGACAUCCCGUGCCACUGUGACAAUAUGUGAUUUGAUUAGAUUGACAGCAUUUUGUUAGGAUGAUCAUUAGUUGGGUGCUAGCCUUCAAAAUAAUUAAUUGGGUGUUUCUGGGUGAAGAGAUCCUUUUUGUGGUUGGUUACCUUUGCUGGCUGUUGUACACACAUAUGCUUAAUAUAUGUUUCGCUUAUUUAAUGUAUAACUUGAUUAGUUUAUAGAACUUUAUGAUUUGAUAGUGGCCCCUCUCCUUUUAUGAUAAACAAAAAUAGUAGUCGUUUCGGUGCCUGCAUGUUAUCGGGAAACAGGAGUAUCAAUCAGUUUUGCUAGUCAUACAUUGAACAGCACACUAUUUUCAUGCUAGCUUAGAUUGAGUGGGUGUUUUACUAUAAGUUGGACUGUUUGAUUCUGAGCUCCUGGUGAAAAAAAGUGAAUUGUACAGUUGUCCUGGAUGACAGGCCAGUCUGAGGGUUUGACAUCACCUGUGAUCUAUAAUUAUAUUUAUACUUAAAUUUUCAGUAGAAGGUACAAUUGUAUUAUUUCCCAAAGCAUCGAUCUGCAUUGUAAGAAAGAAAGAGAACGUUGUGUUUUCUCAACAUAUGUUUUAGUCCUCAAUGCCUUGUCUUUCAGUGAAGAUGGAAAUCCUGAUAUCUUUUCUUUCUUUGAUGGUGCCGCAGGAUUGCUCUGAAUGGUUAUUUACCAGUAAAAAAACCGAUAAAGUUUGCCCAUUCACAAUGCACGUGAACUUUGAUAAGUUUUCUGAAGGUCUGAAGAUGAACAUAAGUUGGUUGUUGGUUGUCCAUAAUAUGAAUUUUAAGAACAGCUUAUUCACAAUAUAGUUGCUGCACUUUACAGGCAUUCUAGUUGGUGAUGAGCUUGUCAUAGAUGGUGGAAUGGCAACAUUUGAAGUUACAGAGAAGAUCGGAAGUGAUCUGCGCUGUAAGUGCACAGACCCAGGUUUGCUUCUUCCUCGAGCCAAGUUGUCAUUCUGGAGGGACGGAAAAUUAGUUGAAAGGAACUUUGGGCUUCCUACAUUAUCCACAAAGGUUAACUUAUAAUGCAACACUUAUUAUUCUUGUAGCUCUUGUAUUUCAUUUUUGAUAGUUUCAUUUUAAUUUUCUCACUCAUUAAGAACAAACCAUAUGUUUGGUCAUUAUCAGUUUGAUAUCUAGCAUGACAAUUUUUUUGGCUAAUAUUCUUAAAUUUUUAUUCUUACAUUACUUACUGAAACUAGUAUCUUCUUGCUUGCUAACUGCCUAUAUUGUAUUGUAGGAUUGGGCUGACAUUGAAUUUGGCAUAACUGAGGGAGUUGAUUGUAUUGCUCUUUCAUUUGUAAAGGAUGCUAAUGACAUUAAGUCCCUGAAAACGUACCUCUCCAGAAGAUCAUUAGAGUGAGCAGAACUGCAAUUCUUAAAGGACCUAAAUAUAAGUUGGUGAUACACAUAUUUGUUCCACAGAGGCGUCUGUAGUGUAAAAGUUGCUUAGAAUGUCUAGGAUUGUCCAAGUUAGAACUUCGAUCACAGAAAUUACCAGCAGCAGGAUUCUGACUUCUGAGCCUCUGACUGCUGUUGUACAGCUUCCAAUAAGUGCAGGAUUCUUUUGUAGUUUAGAGCAUGCUAUUUGCUAUAUCUAACUUGGAAAAUGUGAAAUGGCGUAGCAAUAGAAAUUGACGCCAUUGUUUGACGAUAGAGCAUAUAAAGUGGGAGUCUGUUAUUUAUCCAACUAAAAUGGCACUUUAGGACUUGUGCCUGUGAUACUGAUAUACGUCAAAACUUAGCAACUGGCACAGUUCAAUCCAUUAAAAGAUGGCAUACAUAUUCUUUAGGACUUAAGAGUUAUAUUACUGUUCAUUUUGUUGGGUAUCUGCUAUUGUAAUGCAAUCUACUUGUAUAACAGACACAUUAAGAUAUUUGCAAAGAUCGAGAGCCUGGAAUCUCUCAAGAACCUGAAAGACAUUGUAGAGGCAUCAGAUGGAGUCAUGGUUGCGCGUGGUGAUCUUGGAGUUCAGGUUCCUCUAGAACAAAUCCCAGCCAUCCAAGAGGCGAUUGUUGAAUUAUGUCGAAACCUGAACAAGCCUGUGAUAGUUGCUUCUCAGCUUCUGGAAUCAAUGGUUGAAUACCCAACGCCUACUCGUGCAGAGGUAACCUGAACUAAUUUUUAUGAAAUUUUGCUUCUCAAGACCUAAUUACUUUAGCCUUUUAUUCUCGCAUUCACUUGACGAACUCUCGUUGCCUGUAUUAAGGUGGCAGAUGUUUCUGAAGCAGUGCGGCAGUACGCAGACGCUAUAAUGCUGUCAGCUGAGUCUGCUAUAGGUGCAUUUCCCGAGAAAGCUCUAUCCGUCCUACGUGCUGCUAGUGAGCGGAUGGAAUCAUGGAGCCGCGAGGAGAACAUGCAAAGUCUUCUUCCGCAAUAUCAGCUUGCAAUCGCUCUGCCCGACCGGAUUUCGGAGCAGAUUUGCACCAGCGCUGUGGAAAUGGGUAUCUUGUUUUCUUGUGUAAAUAGACUCCAUCAUAUCCAAUCUCUAUUGUUCCAUCGAAAUUCACUUGUUGUGUUAUACUCCAUGCAGCAAACAACCUUGCCGUGGACGCCAUCUUCGUCUACACAAAGCAUGGCCACAUGGCGUCGCUCCUGUCACGCAACCGGCCCAACCCUCCCAUCUUUGCGUUCACCGAUGACUCCAACACAAGAAAGAGCAUGAACCUUUACUGGGGUGUGAUCCCGCUCCAGCUCCCGCUGUCGAACAGCAUGGACGACAACUUCAAGCAGACCAUCAAGCUCCUGAAGUCCAAGGGCUCGGUGAAACCUGGGGACUCCGUCUUGGUCGUUGCCGACUCGGAUCUGAACCAACCUUGUGCUGCUGCCACAUCAUCAGUGUACCAAUCCAUUCAGGUCCGCUUGGUGGACUAGGCUAGGCAUGAUUGAACUCGGAUAGCUGUCACUAUACCGAGGUUUUACGGCAAAUGUGCUAUAUAGAGUGAAGAACAGUUUGUGUAUUUGUGCAUGCAUUACGUGUUUUCGCUGUCCAGUGUGUGAGAUAUAUGAUCAUGUUGAUCUCCGUGAGAACGGUUACUGCCUUACACUUGUGUUUGUGACAAUUGCUGAUCCCUUGUGGAUGCUUUUUUUCUUUUUCUUUUUGAAGGUAGAAGUAUUGUUUGAUCUCCGUACUGUCUCAGAUGGUCCAGUUAAGCACAAAUUCUUGCCGUGUUAGUGCUAGAGUUCUAUCAGAUGAAUUUCAGUACUAAAUUACUGUGAGCAAAUACUAAUAAUUAUGAAUUAAGAGCCUUCUUUUGGAUAUUCUAAGACCUGUCUGCCACUCGUACCUCCUACAUAAACAAUUGAAAAAGCUAGGAUACGCACUUCGUUUUUGUUGCUCGUUCCAAAAUAUAAGAUGUUAAGCGUGCACUCAAACUUUCCCAUCAUCGAGCACUACCUAACGAAGGACUAGAAGAGCACCAAAGGGCAGAACAAAACAAAAACGGUGAAUUCAUAAUAGUGUCACGAAGCUUUCAUAGCUCAGUUGGUUAGAGCACCCGUUUAGUGAGCGGGAGGUCUUGAGUUCAACUCUCAAUGAAAGCAAAUUUAUUUCUUUUUUGCUCUUUUUGGAUGACCAUAACAAAUUUUCUGCCCGGUUGAGCUCUCAAUGAAAGCAAAUCGAAGUGAUUUUGCAUUUUCCACCGGUAUAAACAUUUCAGCCCAAAUGUUUCUUGUGUUUCCAAGUACCAAAGAAGAUUUUUUUGCUGAGCACAACUAUUUUUUUUCUUAUAUGCUUCGUGUUUUUCCACGCAUACCAGAACAUUUCACCCCAAAGUUUCUUUCAUUUUCCAAGUACCAAAGCAAAUUAUUUUGUUUUUUCCCUACAUACUUCAUGUUUUUUCACGCUUAAUGUCUCUUGUUUGCUUCCGUAUGGCAUAAGGGCAUGUCCAAUGCUGACCCGCAAAUGGACACGACAAAUGUGUGUUUUUAUGUCCAGACGUGGUCCGUAAACAUGAUGCGGGAGGUGCGCCAUGCAAUGUUAUUCACAAAUUAAUCCGGUUGGAAUGAGAGAAAGUAUGUGGGGACCAUGCAUGUGGUGGAGUAUUGUGCGGUCGUGUCCGGUAAGGAGGAGAGAGAGAAGAGGGGGACCAUGCAUGUGGUGGGAUAUCGUGUGGUGGUGUCCAGUUGGGAGAAGAGAGAGAAGAGGGAGACCCUGCAUGUGGUAGGAUAUUGUGCAUGUCCGGACUCCCGUAUAGCUCCCCCUCACUUUGACUCCGAUUUACCAAAAAAACAACGUUCGGAGCGCAAAUAGGGGUCCAUGUUCGAUGCCAAAAAUUAAUAAAAGUGAUCCGGACAACAUACAUCGGAGCUUUGCAGGUCUCCUUUGAAGAUGCCCUAACAUGAGUGAUUUCUCUUGUGAGAACACCCAUAGAGAUGCACAAUGCCCAAUACUAGCCCCCCUCGAAAUAUUGUUACUUUUCCAAAAAUGAAUAUGUAUUUUUUUGUGAAAUACCCAUAUCUAUAAUAAACAUCCAUCAAAAAGUACAAAACACCCUAAACAUAAUAAAAAAAUCAUGUCAAGGUCUUUGGACCACCGAACGACGAGUACCGUCGUCAUAACGAGCCGCUCAUGCGUCACUGUUACCGUUCUCAUACUAGAGUCGGCCAGACCUUGUCAAUGACAGUAGGGACCUCUUCGUGCACGUGACCCUAAGACCAACGUUCUCAUACCAGAGUCGGCCAGAUUUGUGAAUGUAAAAAAAAAUAUCCAAAAAGAACUGUCAGAAAUAAAAAAAUAAUCCAAAUAGAGCCUAAUUAAUCUCUUCAAACAGGCCGGUUGAGCCAAACCUGUUCAAUCCUGCAUAUGCAAACUAGUAAUGGCCUUGUUUGGGUGUUGGAAGGAACUGUUUGCUGUUUGGACUUAUUACUUGAAUUCUCAUCAUCAUUCCAUGGAAGACCAUUUAACCAAUGUUGUCUUCCUAAUGUUUCUUAUUUAAUCUUCCUAAUAUAGAUAGUAGAUGAUGUUGAUGAAAGCAGACAAUGCUUUCAUUUCUCAAAAAAAAAAAAAAACUGUGCUGUGGGUUGACCAUAUCUGAAUUUGUGUUCGCUGCCACAUGUCAGCUAUUUGCCUUCUAAAUUUAUGUACACAUAUUUUAAUCUUUCUUAUCAAUACAUCUGGAAUAGCAGUGCCAGUUUGAUCAUAUAUGGAUCUAUCUAAAUAAUGUACUUGCACAAGCUAGCUUUAACUACACAAGAGCAGCAACCCUGUCAUACAUAAAUUACGGAAAAAUAAUCAUUAUAGCAUGAUCAUGAAAAUAGACCGAUUCAUUUAACAAGAACACUGACAUAGUCGUUGGUUAGGGGGCAACUCAAAUGGCAACAACAGAAGCCUAGAAGUAGUGUAAAUAAUCUUGGGGUUGUAGGAAAAGGCUUCAGAUGGGGUAAUGUCAGGCCUCCGCUGAAUGCUGAAGCUUCUCCAAAAGAGGCUUAUAUCAAGUGGUUGUGCCGGAGGAAGCCACCGGGUUCGCGCAGAGCAUCACCGCGGAGGGGAACGACAAACACCACCGGAUGGAGGAGGGAACGCAGCCAGACCCAGAGCCUGAGGAGCCGGUCGCCGACGAGCCCAUCUACGGCUUGCCUUGUCCAGACUUCUCACCUGAGAGAUGAUCCGGAUGUGCAGUAGGAUGCUGUGGCCCUCACCUACAUCCUUGGCCGCCAUCUUCUCCGGCCUCUAGUACAUUUGUUUGCUCAGUCUGCCAGUUAAUGUUAGAGAUCUGAGCUCGCUUGCAACAAUGUAAUGUGUAAUCUGCAAAUGCAUCUAGUAUUUGCAACAUUCUAGUUUUCUGAUAACUAAUUGUUUAACUUCCAUUCGCAAAGAAAAAAAAAUAUUAAUCAUCACUACUAGCCUGCCUCUCAGAAUUAGCAAGAAUAGAACAUUCUUCAAACAGUAGAAAAUUCAAAUGUUUCAUUGCAACUGAUGCAACACCUAGACAAUAAAUGUUUCUUAAAUGAUCACUGACUUGCAAAAACUAUAUCUAAGAAGUAUCUAAGAAGUACUACUAGCUGAUCAAUCAAGGCAGGCAAAAUAUAAUAAAUUAAUACUCCCUCAGUCCCAAAAUUCUUGUCUUAAGAUUUGUCUAGAUAUAGAUGUAUCUAAUACUAAAACUUGACUUGAUACAUCCGUAUUUAGACAAAUCUAAGACAAGAAUUUUGGGACGGAGGGAGUAUGAGUUUUGCUUAAGAAGUACUACUACAGUAACGUCCAAAAUGGUUUCGCAAGUCUCUUUGGAGAAGGUUCGUAGGAGAUCGACUCAUCUUUAGCUCGUUUCAUGUCUCUGCCAACAAUCUCAAAGUUGGUUACGCUACUUCCAGUGCUUCCUCUUGGUGCUGCCGUUGACAUAGUUGGGGAAUGGAAACUGUUGUUUGAUCGUGUCAUCUGUGAACAAGUCAAAGAUGCAGUUCUUGCCAUAGUAUUCUUAACAUUCUGCUCAUGACUUGCCUGUGAGACCACCCUCUUCAUAAUAUUAUCCAUGCCGUCGCUUGGGGUUGGCAUUGCUUGCUUCAGUUCUUCAAGCUGAACCAAAACAAUUAAGAGAGAUGUUAUUAUUCCUUACAAAACGUCGUCUUCGUUCAUAGAGCACUAGAUUCAUGAGCAGAACCAAACUGGUAGCAUGAAUAAAAUUAAGUUUGUUCACCUUCUUCUGGACUCGAGACGACAUUCUAGCAAGGUAAGAUAUAUCAUCUUCCAGAGUCGACUUUCCUGAGUGUCCUUUAGCAGCAGAUGCUCUAAGGUCUUUAUCAGCCAACAAAGCUUCCUUGGCAAUUUUCAGAUUAUGUAUAUCAGCCAACAAAGCUUCCUUGGCAAUUUUCAGAUUAUGUAUAUCAGCCAACAAAGCUUCCUUGGCAAUUUCCAGAUUAUGUAUAUGCGACAUGCAUAAUGAAAUAGCCUUUGUACUAUAUCUGAUUGCAUCUCCAACCUUGGAUGCCAAACCUAUGCGGAGGUUUCUAGAACUGAAUUAAGGUAAUCAACAAAGGAAGAAUUGAACUCAAAGACCUAAUCAUAACAAAACAGCACUAUCUACCUAACAUUUUUUUCUGGUGAUCACAGUCCUACUCCAAAUCUACACUAACAUGUGGAUUCAAAAGCAGGUGAAGGCACCUGUGCAAGAUUUGGGUCAACUCAAAUUAUUUGAAACCACACUAUUAUGCUGAUUUGUUCUACUACUAUACAGCAGAGUGGCUGACACUCUUAUCACCACAAAGAGGAUACAGAUCGACAAUUCGAAAAUGGUCAGGCCCAACCAAAUGUUCCAAGAUCGCUAAAGCUUCGAAGUAGUAACCGAUUGAUUUGUCUCUGUCCUCUACAAAAGUGAAAAUCAAAUGUGAGGCCUUGAUUGACCAUUCACCAGCCUAACACAUGGUAACUGAGAUAGCUGAGAUUACCUCUUGUCAUGGAGAUUUCAGCUAGAGCAUUCAAUAUAUUAACCUUCUCCAUUGUCUUCUCUGGACUCUUGGCAACUAUCACCCUUGCAGUAUUCAACAUUUUCCAGGCCAAAUCCAAAACAGAAUCAUCUCCAUCGCCUGUCAUGUUCCCAUCCGUCUGACCUUUGCCACGCAAGUUUGUCCCUAACCAACAACAACUAUAUUAGCACGUACCAUUGAAAGAAGAAAAACAUUUUUUCCUUUAGAAAAUGGAAGAGUUUUAUUAUUCCGGGCCUCUGAAUCGAGGAUGCACACAGCCCAAGAGGAAAUAAACAGCAAUAGAUGCACACAAAUGCGUACAAGAUCCAACUCACUUAGUAUACUGUGAUCAUAUAAUAUUAAUGAAAACAUUCCAAGUCCCAAACUAUUAGUACUUUGCAUUGGCAUGGGCAAAUUACUGAUAAGAAGUUUAUUAGGUAUACUCUUCAUUAGGCAUGAACAGACAAUGAGAACUUAUUGCAACCAGUAGUGCUAUCAACUACUCCCUCCGUCCGGAAAUACUUGUCAUUGAAAUGGAUGUAUCUAGAUGUAUUUUAGUUGUAGAUACAUCCAUUUUCAUCUAUUUUGAUGACAAGUAUUUCCAGACGGAGGGAGUAGAUACUACAGUAUAUAGAUUUAAAAAGGAUAAUAAUGCCUUUCAGUGUAUAUGAGUGUCUAGGGCAGUAGCAGUGCCAUGUUAAAGUUGUGGGGUCAACUAAUCCUGCAGUUUUCUCUAAGAGACCAUUCCAUAAACCUGAAGAACAAUGCAAAAUACAGUGAUAUAUUUCAACCUAUAGUGGUGAAAGUGAUAUAAAUGAUAAAGCAUACCUUCUUCAUUUGGUGCACGCUUUGAAACAUUACCUGAACGAUUGGCUGCCUCCCGAGCUUUGCAUAACAAGGCACCUCCAUAAUGGUAAAACGUGUUAGCACACUCAGGAGCAAGGCCUCCAUAAUGUCGAACCCUACGUGACAACAACAACAACGCAUUAAUUUACCGAUGCAUCAUCGUUAACAUUAUAGCAUAAACAUGUACUCUGAAGUGGACAAAACCAUUUUAUGACACAAUGUGUAACUAUGUUCUGUUGACUGCCUUUUAUAGUUACUAGUGCUUGCACAGAAGAGGAGCCAUAUAAAUGAACUGCACAGUGAUCAAAUAGGAUAAUACCUAUCCCUCAAGCAAUUGGACUUUGAUUUAAUUCUCAUCGCAUUACAGACGUCACAACAAAAUAUGAUAAUACCUAUCCCAGGUGGUGUUGUCAGGUCAUACUGGCUAGCUAGACUCACUAACCCCUCAAAGACCAACACCCACACCAUUGUGCUCACUGUCAAAUACAUGAAACCAAAACACCACCCUUGGUAACCACAUUAACAUACAGCAUGUUAAAUCCUACUAAGGUAGCUACAAAUGUCAGAACUCAAAAGGAUCUGAGACACACAUGAAAAGAACAAUGAACUAACUGCAAAUCUUCUUUCCCACAAACUAUCCAUAUGUUACGCUACAGCAGCAUGUCUAGCUAGGAGAACAAGUGGAGUUUGGGAGUAGAACCCAAACCUGAUCUCGAGAACAUGUCUGAAGCAGUCAGCCGUGUAGGCCAAGUCCUUCUCAUUGAUAGCCAUGCACCCCUCAUCAAACAGCACCUGCGCCCAUUCUAGUGAUUUCUCCUCCCAGACCCCUUGCUGACCACCCCUUCCCAGUUGUUUCAGCCAUGGCGCUGGGCUGUGGUGUUCACCACCGGGCACUUGGAGCCUAGAAUGUGGAGUGUAGAAGCCGACAACUGGAAUCAAAUUACAGAAACCAGGACUAGAACACACAAUUUUCGCCUGCUCCGACUGUAGCUCAACCAUGAAGAGGCUAUAAAUAGUUUUAACAAAAAUAGCAUUUGCUCCCUCCGCAAAGCCCAACACUGGAGCAAGUGUGACUGGGUCGAAGAAACUGUCCAUGUCGACGAUCCGGCUCAGCACCCAUCGUGCAUCAGUGCCAUCACUCGCCUCCCUUUUCCACAAUAUGAGCUGAAAAUCAAUGGCUUCGGCAACCCCCAGUCCACCAUCCUCCGCCAGCAUGAGGUUAAAUCUUUGGCGGCCCCUGCCGUAAUCGUCAGGUGGUCUAUCCAACACAGCCAGUACACCACUGUCCAAAUUGUACUCCAGGAUCGUCCCACCGUCGGACAGGAAGUAGAGCAGAGACCUCCCAACCAGCACGCUGGAAUGGUUCUGAAAUUCCAUGGUGAACUCAUCUUGCCUCGAGUUCAGCUUGCCCCAUGUGCCAGUCUCCGACGAGUACAAGCACGCCGAUGUGACAACGUGCCGGUCUUGUUCGCCGGCGAAGAGGAAGACCACGCCGAAGGGACCUCCUGCACAGUCGCGGUGGUCGCACCAGUCCGCUGUGCAGAACACUGCCGCGGCCGGCCACUGGCACCUGAACGCCGCGGGCACCGGUAUGCCCCGACGGGCGCCCGUGAUUGGCUCCCACAAGAGGAGUUCCUGAGUUUCCUGGCGGCGGUCGGAGAGGAAGAGGGCGCGGCCAUGGCGGCAGUCGACGGGGCGCCAGAACCGGCGGUCUGGAGCGGCGAGGGAGAAGGGCGAGGCGGUGGUGGGGAAGAAGUCUGGGAUGCCCCCGUCUUCCCAGUCGUGGAGGAAGCCGAGCACGGGGGGUGCCCGGUGGCGGUGGAGCCCGAUGUAGCGGCGGCGGAAGCGGGGAUGGGAGACGGCGUUCCUCCAGGCCUUGCAGACGAGGGAGGCGCGGAAGAGACAACCUGGGUCGUCGGGCGGGAGGCGGAGGAGGAUCUCUUCGACGACGACGUCGUCCGGGAGCGCCGGCGGCGGCGGCGGCGGUGCUGCCAUGGUGGCCGUUGGUUGGGUUUGGGUGCGGGUGGGGAAUGGUUUCGGCUCAGCCAGAUCGGAACGGACCUUGGCCACAGAGAAGCCAGCGGGCCAAGCCAUGACAUGGGCUGGAGUUAGUAAUGGGCUUGGGCUCGUGGGAGCUGCUGAUUUUGCUAUUCACACCAUGGGCUGGAGUUAGUAAUGGUACUUUCGGGUCAUCGGACCCUAUUGUUUAACAAGUGGCUGAGCUUGACGAAAAAUGUCGCGGCGACAGGAAAACGACCCAUGUAUGCUUAACCUUUGAGUAAAACAAGCGCUUACUAUUUUUUCUCGGUGUUUUUUUAUCCUAAUUCGGCAAAUUUAGCCGAGUUACCGCCAUCAUGAGAUUUUUUAAAGGUCAUAUAUUAUGGUCGAUCAACCCUUACAAGAGCAUCAUUAUAGAAAUCAAAAGUUACACAGAUGUCCUUGGGGGAAUCGACGAUGCCUUCCUCCGCACUCGCCAGCGGUGCCUCGUGAGUGAAGUUCGAUGCAAUUUCUGGAUCUCUGAAACAUGAUAGGAGUAAGGGAAGCGUUGUCGACAUAGCGGCCGAGAAGUCAACUGUCAAAGCCAGAAGACGCCGAUGACAAUGAUCUGAGAAACAGUUCGCCGUCCCAGAGAAGAAGGUUGGACAACCACUCCAAAUCCAACUAGACAGAUUCGGGGAGACCUACCCUCACAGUCUCCCAAACGACGCCAAAGUUGGCUGGUUGUCGCUUGUCGGAGAAGGAGCUAGAGGACAAAGGCAUGAAAAGUUGUCACCAUCCACUCCGCCGGCUUCGGUAGGGGAGCGACCGUUCAGUAAUUCAGGGACCUCGAUGUAAUUUUAUUAUGUUGAGGUUGCUUUGCACUUAUGAUGAAUUUUUUUAAUAGAUUCAAACCCUUCUCCACAAAAGACAAACAACCGGUCAAUAACAAUACACUUUCUAGAUGGUCACUCAAAAUCAAAACAAAAAGGCUCACUAAUAUGCCAUUUCCUCCAAAGGCCACCAAAAGUGAAUACAAAAACAUUUCAUGGGAUAGCGAUUAUUUAUACGACCUAGUCGCACCAAAAAGAUACGCUUAACCCCACAGAUCAGCGGAUUUAUAUUAUUAUUUUAGAUAAAUCAGCAGAUUUAUAUAGCCGAUCGAGCUGGAAUGGAAGCAAGCCCAUGAUACGAUGAUGUGGCCGCACCUUGUCCCAAUAUCUUGUACCACUAAUCAACGUCACUGAUUUAGCUAAAGCCACUGAUGUAUAACCUAACGUAUGCAAGCCAAGCAAAUUGGGCGGACAUGAUAGUACUCCCUCCCUCCCAUAAUGUAAGACGUUUUUUGAGGGAGUAUUAGGCAUGGAGAUCUGGAACAGUACGUGCGAUGCUAAUUUGCAACUAAUAAAAUAAUUAAUCUUCCAAAGAUAGCCAUCCAUGUGCACCAAUGUUAGACCGACCGAGCGCACGUUACUUAUUUCAGAUCAGCAGAAUCUUUCUUGAUCAGAAACACCGGACAGAAAGUUCGUACUGGAUCAGAAUCAGGCUGUGACAACACAAACACACAGUACCGAGAACAAUGUUUCCUGUGAAACACACCCUUUUGCAAUCAUGUUGUCCAAGCAAAUAGCGAUGCAUAUGUAACGGGCUGACAAGGCCUUGGUGCAAAUUAUGNNNNNNNNNNNNNNNNNNNNNNNNNNNNNNNNNNNNNNNNNNNNNNNNNNNNNNNNNNNNNNNNNNNNNNNNNNNNNNNNNNNNNNNNNNNNNNNNNNNNNNNNNNNNNNNNNNNNNNNNNNNNNNNNNNNNNNNNNNNNNNNNNNNNNNNNNNNNNNNNNNNNNNNNNNNNNNNNNNNNNNNNNNNNNNNNNNNNNNNNNNNNNNNNNNNNNNNNNNNNNNNNNNNNNNNNNNNNNNNNNNNNNNNNNNNNNNNNNNNNNNNNNNNNNNNNNNNNNNNNNNNNNNNNNNNNNNNNNNNNNNNNNNNNNNNNNNNNNNNNNNNNNNNNNNNNNNNNNNNNNNNNNNNNNNNNNNNNNNNNNNNNNNNNNNNNNNNNNNNNNNNNNNNNNNNNNNNNNNNNNNNNNNNNNNNNNNNNNNNNNNNNNNNNNNNNNNNNNNNNNNNNNNNNNNNNNNNNNNNNNNNNNNNNNNNNNNNNNNNNNNNNNNNNNNNNNNNNNNNNNNNNNNNNNNNNNNNNNGGCUGAGUAAGCAGAGGCCAGCCGUUCGAUUGAAAUCCAACGGCUCUAAAAUCAAUCCACUCCAACUUUUUAUAAGGCAACAACAAAAUACUAAUAUUUCUCUAUCGGCAAAGGGCUAUAUUAUGGUAAGAUUACAUUAAAAGAGCUUGUCAGUUAGAUAGUACUCUUGUCCCUUCACAUGAUGUAAUAUUUACUCCAUCUUUGCAUAAAUACCAUUUGGAUAUUUACACCGUCCCCAUUAAUAUUUAUAGGAACAUAUUUGUAGAAACUAACUGUUUGUGUGAUAAGUCCACCUUUAAUUUUUUUUCGCAAAAAUAGUCUAUCUUUAACAUACUAUUUUCACCUCACGAAUCUACAUAUUUAAGUCAAAGUAGAAAGAAAAAAGUUUGAAUAUAGCCCAACAUGCAUGUUGAGAGAAAUACCGUAAGUAGCAUUUCCCAUACAUGUAAAGAGAAACACAAGUCGUGUGGUUGAUGAGAUGCCAUGUAUGGUGAAGUGUGACGAUUUAGUUGCCAUCCGGGAUGUCAGAUGUAGUUAUCUGGGAUGGCAAAUAUGGUUGUAAAAGCAUGGCAACUCUCUCUGUUUUGGUUAACUAAAGUUGCCAUGUCUAAUUUAUGGUAGUUGCCGCGUGUAAUCAAAUCAUAGUUGUCGUGUGUGAUUAAUUAACUACUUGUAACAUAUGGUUAAACAAUAGUUGCCAUGUGUGUUUAUCUAGUUGCCACGUGUGGUUAAUCACAGUUGCCAUGUCUGUUUACCUGAUUGUCACGUAUGCGCAACUGCAGUUGCCGUCUAGCAAACGAAUCAUAGUUUUCAUGUGUGUUUACCUAGUUGCCAUGUACGCGCAACUGCAGUUGCCAUCCAACAACGUACGACUGUCAUGUGGGUGAAAAGCAGUUCUCCCACACGCACGUGGACUAGGUGGUGGUUGUGUGAGCAGAAACUAAUUCGCCAACACAACGCAUCUGGCAACCGCGUGCUGUGGGGCGUGUGGGCGACCUCUUCAACGCCCACACACCGGCCUUGUCCUACGUGGCACGUAAAAAUUGCCUUGUCAAGAUUCGUGCAAACUUAACUGGACGGUGAUCCAGGCGUGUGGGCGAGUUGCAAUGUUGCCACACGUGUGAGUGUUAGUGUUUUUGAAGAUCUAUUGUAUUAACUUUUCUUUUGCAACUUAUCCUUUUUGCAUGAUUCCUUAAGUAGUGUGUUUAAAGUAGGGAUGCAGGCGAACAACGUCCACACACAUCCGUAGGGGUAGGGAUGAAAAUGGGUGGAAACUUUCUGCUUUUUCGAAGGAAAAAUGGAAACGGAAAUGAAAUUUGCAAAAAGAAAGUGAAAAUGGAAAUUUUUUAUUAGAAAAAAGGGUAUUUCCCGGUGGAACGGGCAUGAAAAUGGAAUUAUCCGUUUCUGUGAAUAUGAAAAUUUCGUUUUACUAUGGACCUAUAGGUGCCUUGCCGCCCAAUCACCAAACAACAAAUAAUGACACAAUGAAUAGAAUGGAUCAUUUGAGGUCCAACUUCUAUUACCACACAUGUAUUCAGCUUGACCCUAUACGCUAUUGUCCAGUACUACUACAAUAUUAUGAUAAGUUGCGGUAAUCCACUUCUGAGCCCAGGCUCAGCUGCAUCCGCCCUUAUGGAAAAAAAUCAAAACAAAUAUUAGGAAAAUUCAAAAAAUUCCAAUUUUUCUGUGUGGUAGAUAAUUUGAUGCAUGAGGUACGCUUUAAUUUUUAAAUCAUUUGAAUAUGUGAGCAGCUCUCGGCAAAAAAGACAAAUUCAAGGCCUAUAAAAAUGUUUACUGUCCAUGCACUGUUCUUACCCGAUUUAGCUUUUUUGCUGAGAAAUUCUCAGAAGUCCAAAUGAUCUCAAAUUUUUAGCGGACCUCCUGUGAUAAAUUUUCUACCAUACAAAAAAAAUUGAAUUUUUUGAAUUUGUUUUGUAUUUUUUGUGAUAUUUUCCUGGACGGAUGCAGAUGAGCCUGAGCACCGAAACGCCGCACUCCAUAAGUUGCUAACAUAAUAAUUUUAUUAGUUUAGCCAUUAACAAUUCAUUAAAAAAAUCUUUCUCGUGUGUAUUCAAGGCGAUUUUAUGUUCCGGUCAAUAGUCAUUUUUGUUCCAUGUCCGCUUUGUAUUCACUCUGUGUACGUUUUUGAUAGUAUAUGUGUUUCCGUAUUUAUUUCCGCGGUUUCUGUAUGCGUUUCCGCUUCUGCAAAAAUAUAUGAAAACAAAUAUAGUAGCACGCAGUUCCGUCCGUUUCCACUUCAUUUUCAUCCCUACAUAGAUAGGGGUGUAAUUUGACCAUCAUUCAUUAUUAAAGCAACGAUGUAUUAGUUCGUAUUCGGCGGUCGAGGGCGUACAUACGGGGACGCGGUCCACUUGCAUCCCUAGUUUGAUGAAACAAGUCGUACAAUCACAGUGCAGCUGGAGAUCGAGCCAAAGCAACUUUAUGAGCUUGCUUGCUGGCGGAAAGCCAUGGUACACUAUGUGCUACAGGUAUAUUCAGAAAAAAGGUUGCUCUGCUCCCCUAGCAAAGUGGCAAGCAUGGGGUCGGCGUUAAUUAGCUUACUGGCGCUAACAGUAUUCGACAUAUUACGGACAAGGCCGCGUGGGCAGGGCCCAUGCAAAUGCGGCCCAACCGGCCGAUCGCACCAAAUGCACUUCCUGUGCGGCCUGGUUGUACCAAUAGUGUUCUUUUCGUCACGUCAGCUGAUAUAAGUAAUAAGUUUGAACCUUCAAAAAAAAAAGUAAUAAGUUUGAACCUUCAAAAUCAGAACUUCACUGAUCAGUCCGCUAAUGCAGAGGGCCAGUACCCUUGUCUCUUGGCAUCGACGUCGACACGUCGUGGAGAAUAUGAAUGUUCCAACAAUCUGUACUGGCAAAAAGAAAAAAGAAAAAAGAAAAAAGAAACUGGAUUCGGAUGCUGGAAUGGAAAUAUUAAUGUUCCGACAAUCGGAAAGUGUCGGUGUGGGUCCUCCAACUGCAGUACUACUAGUUGGUAUCUCAUUUCUUGUCUCGCCAUGUUUCGCCAUUUUCAACUAGUUGGUGUCAUAUUAAUGUUCCAACAAUCUGUACCCGCAAAAUCAAAGAAAAUCUAGUUCUAGUGUGGAAUGAAUGUACGUAAUUUUCUUUCGGAAAAAUCAGCAGAAAUUUUGUUUGAAUCCAAAUAAUUUCAAAUUUUAAAAUCUAGAGAAAAGAAAAUAUAGCUCAGGAUGCGUACUUUUAUUCGAAAGAAUAUACAGUAUACAUUAGCCGUCUGUAUUAAGCACAAGCAGAUCAGGUGGGUUGGUUUAGAGGCGUGCACAAAAGUGACAUGGCGCCUGUUCAAUCCCACACCGAUUCUUUAUUUGCAGCUCGAUUUGUUAAACCAUACACUGACUUGUAGUAUGAACUUAAAAACAACUGAGGGUGUUUCUGCAAAAAGAAAAAUCACGUGCACUGCAUUUCAGCCGCUCCCAGCCACUGACAAUGGGCCCUGUCCAGGCUGGCGUUCCACGCAGGCAGCAAAUACACACGCAAUCGUAUUUGCACGUCCGCGCAAGUUUUAUGACCAGAAAGACGUAUUUUGCAAGUUUGUGCAUCAAACUGACCACCACGCGUAAGUUCUAAGACUUCCGGUGUAUUUACCUCACGUAUAUAGUACACGCGUGAUGAAUGGAUAUUAUUACCAGAAUAUUCGGAAAGGAAUAUCCACAGUUUGCGUGCAGCCAGACGCCAGUCAUUUUCGUUUGGAAUCAUCCACUUGGCUUGAUCUUUCAGCAAGCUUUUGCCGUUGUUGUCGUUGCACCAACAUAAACAUGUGAAUGUAUGGUUCAACUAGACAUUCUCGUCAGAAAUAUGCAUGCCUGCAUGCACUCCCUCUCACCACUUCCAAAUUUAAUUAUACAGGAUAAUAUGUUCCGUACUAUACAUAUGACAUGUUAUAUUUUCUUGUUUCAUUUUUCUUCGGUAGAAGUGCAGCUGCUAUGCAAUUCCACCACAGAGUUGAGUCUUCCUACGAUCUCCUCUGCUGUAACGGUGAAGCCAUCAUCCACCUGAAAACAAAAUGCAAACUAGCUAUUGACCAGCAUUGUAUUCUCUUACUUCAUUCAGAUGAAUAUAAUACUUAUGAACAAACAUGAUUAGCUUUUUUCCCAGGGGAGCAUGCAGGAUUGGCUAGAUUGAGAAUUAUGUUUUUGUUCAAUAAAUACUGGUCAUCAAACAAAAAAAUGCUAAACCAUUUACAGACACUACCCUUUUAUUCUCCAACCAAAUCUCGCCAUGUCAGCUUGUCGGUACGGUCCAUAACAAAUCCCCCAUAAAUGUAGCUUUACUUGUCAUCAAAAUAUAUAUGUAGGCUCUACAAUAGUACGUUCGUGGAAUUUUCUAUGCAUGUUGACCAUGUCUUGCAAAUUAAGAAGCUUCCUCAUAAUGCGGGAUAGAUUAUGGAUUUUGUACGAAACAUUAGUUAAGGCUAUCAUAGUACAACUAUGACGGUAUGAUAUCCGGUUUUUAAUUUUUGCCUGGGCCAAUUUUUAUUUUGUUGAGUGGUUCCAACUAGCCAAAAGAAUGAAUAUAUGUUUCAGUGUAAACAGCCCAGUUUAAUUCGAGCAUUGAAAUCACAUUGUCUUUGAGAGAUGAAUGUCUUUCCGGGCCAAGUUGCUAAUCGCUUCGGUUUAGCUAAAUCUAAGUCAUUUGUGGUUGUCUUAUAUGUAGGCUCUACGAUAGUACUUUCUUCGUUUUUAUUUACUCUGCAUAUUAGAGUUGACUGAAGUCAAACUUCGUAAAGUCUAACCAAGUUUAUAGAAAACAAUAUAAACAUUUACCAUAUCAAAUUUAUAUGAUGUGAAAGUACAUUUAUUAAUAAAUCUGAUGGUAUUGAUUUGUUAUUGUAUAUGCUCAUGUUUUUGUUUAUAAACUCUGUCAAAGUUUACAAAGCUUGACUUUGACCAAAGCUAAUACGCGGACUAAAUAAAAACGGAGGGAGUACGUUUGUGGAAUAUUCUAUGCAUUGACCAUGUCUUGCAAAUUAAGAAAAUUAAGAAGCUUCCUCAUAAUGCGGGAGAGAUUAUGUAUUUUGUACGCGACAUUAGUUAAGGCCAUCGUAGUACAACUAUGACGGUAUGAUAUCCAAUUUUUAAUUUUUGCUGGGUUCAAUUUUUAUUUUGCUGAAAGGUUUCAACUGGCCGGUUUAAACCAAUGAAUAUAUGUUUUAUGUAACAGCCCAGUUUAAAACAGAACUUUCCAGCAUUGAAAUCACAUUGUCUUCGAGACAUGAAUGUCUUUUUGGUCCAAGUUGCUAAUCACUCCGGUUUAGGUAUAUCUAAGUCAUUUGAGAUUGUCUUAUAUGUAAGUCGAUGCUCUAAUUAGCCGUCAGAUGUCCACAUUUUGAGAUACAUGUAGAAGUGAGUGUAGAAAUUUCAUGCCCUGAAACUAUAUUAAAAAAUAAUUAUAAUUACUAAUAUAUAUUGAGAAUACCUCAUUAUGAAGCGAGUGUAACAAUGGUUGAUUACCAAUGAAAUACAGUCCCUCCGCUAACUAGAUGUUCUAACUUUUUUCUGGUUCAGAUGUAUAUAAACGUGUUUUAGUGUAUUUGUUCACUCAUUUCAGUUUGUAUAUAGUUUGUAUUAAAAUAUCCAAAACAUCUUAUAAUAGUGAACAGAGGAGUAUCAUAUAUGUUCGGUUGAUGAUAAGUCUGGCUAGGCCAUUGAUAAGUGAAAGGAGCUAGAUCAAAUAUGAUUAGACAUGAAAAAUCUUACUCGACUUUUAUGGAUCGAUAAUCCUAGACCUAUGUAGCUUUGCAAAAUGUUUCACGUAACCUUCCUAGCCCCACGCACACACACAUUUUCAGGUGGGUGGGGCCCCUAGCUUCCCCCCCUUCUCCAAUCACAAUUAUGUGGCGGCUUACGUAGAACACGUAGGUAAUUUUCUUUACGUGGAAGUACCAUUACUCUUUUUGUCUAUGAGGGUGUUUGUUUCCAGUGACUUAUGGGUUUAGGGACUUAAAAAAGUCCCUAUAAGUCCAAUCCAAGCCAAACAGGAGGGACUUAUUGGGACUUAUUGGGGUGAUUAGGGACUUAUCAAAUAAGCUCCUCAGGGAGGAGCUUAUUGGGACUUAUCUGGACCCGCACCGCUCGAUCCCCUCCUCGCCUCGCGUACCGCAUCGCCCCACGCCGCUUGUUCGCCUCGUACCGCAUCGCCCCCUCGGUUCCCCUCGUCGCCUCGCUCGCGUCGCACCAAUCGCCGCCGCCGCCGGCAGCUUCAACAGCCGCCGCCAUGGCCGGCGAGGAAGACGAGAUCCCCUUCUUCUCUCAAUUCCCCUUGUCUCAGGAGGCACCCGAAGGCUCAUCCGCCGGUGGAAAUCUCGGGAGGGGAAUGGGUUUCUUGGAUCUCAACAACAACACGGACGUCUUCCCGGAGUUGGGCUCGUACCAACAACUUCUCUUUGACCAGUCGGCCGGUCAUGGCCUUCCUCCGGUUGGACGUGGUCGUGGGAGGCCCGUACCCCAGGGCGGAGGAGGCCGCAGCCGGUCUCUGAACAUCGGAGGCCGAGGCGGCUCUAACCUGCGUCCGUUCGUCGCCCCGGCCGCAGCUGCCGUUGAGGGAGGCGUCAUAAGGCGUGGGAGGACCUCGUCCCAGGUCACCGGACGCGGCGUAGGUCGAGGCAAUGGGUCCUCAGCGGCCGGCAGUAGAGGAAAAAAUGCGGGGAAGCAACGUGUGUCGUCAACUGCUGCGUCUUCAGAAGAUGUCGACGAGAAUGAAGGCUUUGAAGAUGAUGAUGACAACAAUGAUGGGUUGUGGUCCUUGAAACAACAAUGAUAUGAACAAGUGUUGUUCGCUUGUAAUUUCUUUUAUCUCGGUUGUUAUGUACUCUCUAUUAUUUUGGUUCUUAUCAACAAGUGUUAAUUGUUUGUAUGAACAAGUGUUAUGAAUAAGUGUUAUUUCGGUUGUCACUAUUCUGUAAUUCGUUUGUAUGAAAAAUGAUUAUCAACUUAUAAGUCCCUGUAAACAAACAGGCAGGGACUCGGAACUUAUAAGUCGAUGUAAACAAACAGGCAAGGACUUAUGACUUAUAAGUUGGAACUUAAAAAAAUCCUGGGACUUAUGAAACAAACAGGCCCUAUAUUGGACCGAAAUGUGAAAUCAAGGAAAACCUGCCUUGGCCGUGAUGGUUAUGAUGACAGUGCAGGCCGUGAAGGGCAUGACAUUGGCGUGGGUGACGGUGAGGUGGAGCCCCUCCUCCACCUCCGACAGCACCCUCACCACCACCCCCUUGGCGGCGGCGCACAGGAUCCUCACCAUCACGCCGGUCUCCGAGAACCGCACCUCGAUCUCCGGCAGUGGGUUCCUCGAAGCCGGCGCCCCCGACGACGCCGACGAGGGCGAGCCGUUUUCGUCUGCAACGGCGGCGUAGCAGGGCUUCUUGACGAGUACCACGGUCUCGAUGCUCCUGCUGCCGCGGCCGGUGGCUGCCUCGAGGGCCUUGAUCUUCUCCUGCAGCUCCUUGACGUGCCUCGUCGCGUCGGAAAGGAUCGUCGCCUUGUCCAUCUGAAUCAAUCGUAUACGUAUAUGGAUCUACACUGAGAUGAUUUGUUUUCACGGGGAAGAAGAACUAACAUAAGAGCAGGUGUUGAAGCAAAUCGGAGUACGCACCUUCUUGAGGCCGGGGAUGACGGUGGAGAGCUCGAUGAAGCGCUGGUUAAUCUUCUCGCGGCGCUUGCGCUCCGCCAUGAUAUGGUCCUGCGCGUACGGCGGCCCCGACGACACGGGCCCGGUGCCGGUGGGGCUCCUUGCGGCGGCCCUCCUCGUGGGCUGCGACCCCGUCUCCGGGACGACAGGUCCGGCGCUGCCGCUGUCCAGUGUACCGUCACUGGCCGGCAGCGCGGAGAAAUUCCAGCUCAUCACGGGAAGGCUGGUGCCCGCACCGUUCCUGCAAAGCCUCGGAGCGCACCUGGCCGAGUUCGGGGACAGGGGCCAGACGUCGUGCUCCAUGGCCGCCGGGGACGAGAAAUUGCCACCAUAGCCUCCGCUGCCGUCUGUGGUUUCGCCGGAGCUCCCGCUGCUUGCCGGAUUGGCUCCCGUAAUCAGCUCUUCGAAGACGAGACGCUGCUCACGGAGCGCCUGAAGCGAGGGGAAGGCUGCGUCGCCGGAGUCGCCACUGACGACCACCACUGGGUCUGGGUGCUCCUGCUCCAGCGAGUCCAUGGCCCAUUCCAUGAACAGGGCCAAGUCGUCCAUGUCGCCGACUUAAUUUGGAUGGAUGCAAAUGAUGGAGAGGAACCUUCUAAUUAGGAAAGAAAAAGCACAGUUUAACCUAGAUAGAUGAAAAGUUUACAAGAACCUUCUAAACCAAACUGAAUGUAAUACAGAAGACUUAUCCAUAAAUUACUAUAAGAGGAGACUUAAGACUUAAUUACCUCAAAUCUUUCCUAAGCUUGCAGAAGAUGCUAUGAUGAGCAAAUCCCCUCCAAAUUAUUCAGUGAGCGUGCAGCGCUACCCAAAGAAGCAACGGAGAGGUUUUGCCUUAUAUAGGGCAGUGACACCGCAGUUCACUGCAGUACUAGAGGCCUCUGAGUGGCUCCUCCCUUUCCAGAGGGCCAAUAAUGCAUAGGAGAAAACAAUCCUUUCAACCAAAUCUGGUUAUGUCGCCUAAAUCAGGUGAAAAUGAUAUUUUGCAGCCCCUACAGUACGCUAGGUAAACUAAAAUACAAGAGUUGAUGUCCAUGCAUGAUGUGUUGAUUUGACCUAGCUCGUUUAUCUGGGGUUUCUCUACCUCCCCUAUCCCUUGGUGGCUAGGGUAAACUCUCCCCUCUAAUCUUUGCCGGCGAGACCAUAGAUUUGCCUCUCCUUUGUCUGCCGCUCUGGCGGCCGGUGGCGGCCCGGGAGGGUAAUCCCGGUGCCUCCACUUCGGUUAGUAGUUUAGGUUAGGUCUUUUAGUCCUCGUAGGUGCGGCACUUGGGCGGAUGGCAGCGCUUCUUCUUCGAGUUUGUCUUCCGGGUUCUGAUCGUCCUCGAGUUUGUCUAUCUGGACGUAGUCGAUGGAGAUUCAGUGUAGAUUCAUGUUGCCUUCUUGGGACGAUGAGGUUAGGGUUUCUCUUCGUAUGGCGAGAUUUGGUGUCAGGUGUUUCAGAUCUAUUCAGGGGUUCAACGACGACGACUGCGGCUUCAGGUCGCUGGUCCUUAGGGGCACGUCCACGAAGACUUCCCCGCUGUCAUCGACAAGGUUAAGCCAUCUCCGGUAUAGGAGCGGCGACAUCGGCGCGUCGACGGCUCCUUCUGAUGGCAGUAGUGGUUGUUCGGUGGUCUCAGAAUAUUAAUGUAAUUUUUAUUAUGUUUGAUGUGCUUGUACUUUCGGUGAACCUUAAUAAUAUAUCUCGAUUAUUUUCAAAAGAAAUUGACCUAACUCAUUUAUCUUUGGAGCAAUAGUAUUUUUCAUGCUAAUUAAUUUGUCACUGAUCGAUAUCACAAUUAUUCUCCGGCCAGGCACACGCACGCACACACGCACUCUGCGCUCGCGCGCGCGCGCACACACACAAUAUCUUUCACUUCAGUGUGACACUUCGCUAGAAAGGAGCAGACAAGGAGGUAUACGAAAGAUCUUUGGAUGCCUUAAUUUAAUUAGUCGAUUGCGGUGAAAAUUGAUUAAUGUCAUAGAUGUCUCGAUGCUGAUGUCUUAUUCGUACUAUGCUGAGUAUUUUAUCUUCAUCUGCAACUCCACCAACUAAUCUGCAAAAUUAAAUGCAAUGUGGAUCCACUAAUAAUUAAUAUGCAUCACCUCGUCUUUACCGCUAAGCACUUGCAACCUUUACAAGUUUUUUUGUGACUUUUACAAGUUGGAAUGGAUGGAAAGACAUGUCUUGUAGAUUUUUAAUUAUAUUGAUGAAGACAAACAAUUUCAAAUGAAUUCAUCCAUGUCUUAAAUCAAGUUGUGAGGACAAAGUAAUAUUAGCUAGAAAAAACAUUGCAUUAAUAAAUGAAAUGUAAGACAAGUUUCACAUCAUCCAUUCCAAUAUUUGACGAGAUAUAUUCUCCAUCCAUCCAUAUAUAUAGGGCCUAACGCGUUUUUUGGGACUGCCUUUGACUAUUCAUAAGAUUAAUAGUAUAUUAGAUGUAUAAUGUGCAACUCUAUCAUUAGAAGCUUCUUUCACGCACGAAUAUGAUGGUAUGCUUUGCGUAACUUGCAUGUCAUAUAUUAUUACUCUAACAUAUGGUCAAAGUUAGCCUCGGAAAACGCAUUAUGCCCUAUAUAUAUAUGGAGAGAAGGAGUAGUUAUUUUACAGAAGACUAGAGCUUUGAUAAGUUCCGACAAGACCUGGAGAAGGAGGCACGCCAGGUGUCCAUACGAUGUCAUUGUUGAGGAAAUAUUCACACAUAUCUUUGAUGCAUCAUUUGACUUUAACAUGGCCAUAGUUCUCACUAUAGCAACCUGUGUAAGUAUAUUUCACUAUAAUGCAAAUUGUUGUGAUGGACAAGCUCGUCCAUAUGCGCGCAAACAUAGGACCUACAUGUCAUAUAGUACCAACUAUUACCUACAAGGAAAUUGAAUUUGUUGGGUAGCUUUGUUGGACCCUUUGCACCGAUCCCCUUCUCCUAGUCCCGUGAAGGCUUGCCCAUGAUAGUCGUGCCUCCGUAUCAAGGAACAAAGGUAAGAUAUCUUGUUCCAAGGUACAACAACUGCAUACACAUGAAAAAAGGAGGCGUAAAUACGCAAAACUAGGUGGAUAAGAAAAAAGAAACACUACCGCAGAAAGGGCAUUAGAGCCCCCCCCCCCCCUCUCACACACAUAGUUUUCAUGCCAUUUUGAGUUUCAUUUCUAGCAAAUAGUUGCUAACACUUCUAGUAUUGAAGGUGGUUCUAAACUCCCCUUGGAUAGUUGCAACUAAACCACCUGCAAUAUUUUAGGUGUAUCAGAGGUGGAACUCUCUCAAGAACCACUUUCAAUUCUUUAGUACUAUAGGCAGAACAUUCAUGUAGCAAUAUGCAGGGUAUCAUCUUGUAUAUAGCUAAAUAGUUUAUCUCCACUACUUCUAUUUCUCUAAACAUGCACGCAUGUGAGUUCAAUACUCCACUAUUUCUCUCCCCAUGCGUGUAAAAUAUUAUUCUUAUUCUCGCUCAACAUAAAAAAUCCUAACUCGACACACAUGUCACCUCAUCAAUCACAUUACUUCUAUUUCUCUCAAAAUGCAUAUGAAAUCUUGCCAAGGUCCACAUGCACAUGUACAAAAUAAGAACCGUGAGAACCAAUCUAGGGUCUCUUUUCCUCCCCUAUCCCUUGGCGGCUAGGUUCAACUCUCUCCUCCAAGCUUUGCCAGUGAGCCCUGGAUAUUCACCUCCCCUCUGCCUCCGCUCCGACAUGAAGGAAAUAUGCCCUAGAGGCAAUAAUAAAGUUAUUAUUUAUUUCCUUAUAUCAUGAUAAAUGUUUAUUAUUCAUGCUAGAAUUGUAUUAACCGGAAACAUAAUACAUGUGUGAAUACAUAGACAAACUUAAUGUCACUAGUAUGCCUCUACUUGACUAGCUCAUUAAUCAAAGAUGGUUAUGUUUCCUAACCAUAGACAUGAGUUGUCAUUUGAUUAACGGGAUCACAUCAUUAGUAGAAUGAUGUGAUUGACAUGACCCAUUCCGUUAGCUUAGCACUUGAUCAUUUAGUAUGUUGCUAUUGCUUUCUUAAUGACUUAUACAUGUUCCUGCAACUAUGAGAUUAUGCAACUCCCAUUUACCGGAGGAACACUUUGUGUGCACCAAACGUCACAACGUAACUGAGUGAUUAUAAAGGAGCUCUACAGGUGUCUCCAAAGGUACAUGUUGAGUUGGCGUAUUUCGAGAUUAGGUUUUGUCACUCCGAUUGUCAGAGAGGUAUCUCUGGGCCCUCUCGGUAAUGCACAUCACUAUAAUCCUUGCAAGCAAUGUAGCUAAUGAGUUAGUUACGGGAUGAUGACUUGUCGGUAACGAGAUUUAACUAGGUAUUGGGAUACAGACGAUCGAAUCUCGGGCAAGUAACAUACCGAUGACAAAGGGAACAACGCAUGUUGUUAUGCGGUUUGACCGAUAAAGACCUUCGUAGAAUAUGUAGGAGCCAAUAUGAGCAUCCAGGUUCCGCUAUUGGUUAUUGACCAGAGAGAUGUCUCGGUCAUGUCUACAUAGUUCUCGAACCCGUAGGGUCCGCAGGCUUAAUGUUCAUUGACGAUAUAGUAUUAUAUGAGUUAUGUAUGUUGGUAACCGAAUGUUGUUCGGAGUGCCGGAUGAGAUCACGGACAUGACAAGGAACUCCGGAAUGGUCCGGAGAUAAAGUUUUGAUAUAUGGGAUAAUAGUGUUUGAUCUCCGGAAGGGUUCCGGAAUUCACUGGAUGGGGUUCCGGAUGUUUCCCAAAAUGUUUGGGUACGAGAACACGUUAUUUGGGCCAAAGGGGAAAGCCCACGAGGCUUUUGGAAAGUGCAAAAGGAAGUUUUGCGGAGACUAGAGGCUAGACGCUAGGAACCCUGGCGUCUAGGGGGUAGACGCCGGGAACCCUGGCGUCUAGCCCUGGAGUCCGUGUAGGACUCUUGCCUUUUGGGCAAAACCGACUUUGAGGAGGCUUUUACUCCAAGUUUCGACCCCAGGGCUCAACAUAUAAAUAGAGGGGCAGAGCUAGCACCAAAGACACAUCAAGAAACACCAGGCCGUGUGCCGGCAACCCCGUCCCCUCUAGUUUAUCCUCCGUGAUAGUUGUGGGCGAUACAAGUCAUACUGCUUACCAACAUGUCAUACUUUGGUUCGGCGGUAUUGUUGGAUGAAGCGGCCCGGACCGACAUUACGCGUACGCUUAUGCGAGACUGGUUCUACCGACGUGCUUUGCACACAGGUGGCUGGCGGGUGUCAGUUUCUCCAACUUUAGUUGAACCGAGUGUGGCUACGCCUGGUCCUUGCGAAGGUUAAAAUAGCACUAACUUAACGAACUAUCGUUGUGGUUUUGAUGCGUAGGUAAGAACGGUUCUUGCUCAGUCCGUAGCAGCCACGUAAAAUUUGCAACAACAAAGUAGAGGACGUCUAACUUGUUUUUGCAGGGCAUGUUGUGAUGUGAUAUGGUCAAGACGUGAUGCUAUAUUUUAUUGUAUGAGAUGAUCAUGUUUUGUAAUCGAGUUAUUGGCAACUGGCAGGAGCCAUAUGGUUGUCACUUUAUUGUAUGAAAUGCAAGCGCCAUGUAAUUGCUUUACUUUAUCACUAAGCGGUAGCGAUAGUCGUAGAAGUAAUAGAUGGUGAAACGACAACGAUGCUACGAUGGAGAUCAAGGUGUCGCACCGGUGACGAUGGUGAUCACGACGGUGCUUCGGAGAUGGAGAUCACAAGCACAAGAUGAUGAUGGCCAUAUCAUAUCACUUAUAUUGAUUGCAUGUGAUGUUUAUCCUUUAUGCAUCUUAUUUUGCUUUGAUUGACGGUAGCAUUACAAGAUGAUCUCUCACUAAUUAUCAAGAAGUGUUAUCCCUGAGUAUGCACCAUUGCGAAAGUUCUUCAUGCUGAGACUCCACGUGAUGAUCGGGUGUGAUAGGCUCUACGUUCAAAUACAACGGGUGCAAAACAGUUGCACACGCGGAAUACUCAGGUUAAACUUGACGAGCCUAGCAUAUACAGAUAUGGCCUCGGAACACGGAGACCGAAAGGUCGAACAUGAAUCAUAUAGUAGAUAUGAUCAACAUAGUGAUGUUCACCAUUGAAAACUACUCCAUCUCACGUGAUGAUCGGACAUGGUUUAGUUGAUUUGGAUCACGUGAUCACUUAGAUGACUAGAAAGAUGUCUGUCUAAGUGGGAGUUCUUAAGUAAUAUGAUUAAUUGAACUUAAAUUUAUCAUGAACUUAGUCCUGGUAGUAUUUUGCAAAUUUUGUUGUAGAUCAAUAGCUCGCGUUGUUGCUUUCAUAUGUUUAUUUUGAUAUGUUCCUCGAGAAAAAUUGUGUUGAAAGAUGUUAGUAGCAAUGAUGCGGAUUGAAUCCGUGAUCUGAGGUUUAUCCUCAUUGCUGCACAGAAAAAUUAUGUCCUUAAUGCACCACUAGGUGACAGACCUAUUGCAGGAGCAGAUGCAGACGUUAUGAACGUUUGGCUAGCUCAAUAUGAUGACUACUUGAUAGUUUAGUGCACCAUGCUUAACGGCUUAGAAUCGGGACUUUAAAUACGUUUUGAACGUCAUGGACCAUAUGAGAUGUUCCAGGAAUUGAAGUUAAUAUUUCAAGCAAAUACCCGAGUUGAGAGAUAUGAAGUCUCCAACAAGUUCUAUAGCUAAAAGAUGGAGGAGAAUCGCUCAACUAGUGAGCAUGUGCUCAGAUUGUCUGGGUACUAAAAUCGCUUGAAUCAAGUGGGAGUUAAUCUUCCAGAUAAGAUAGUGAUUGACAGAGUUCUUUAGUCACCAUCACCAAGUUAGUAGAACUUCGUGAUGAACUAUAGUAUGCAAGGGAUGACGAAAAUGAUUCCCGAGCUCUUCGUGAUGUUGAAACCGACGAAGGUAGAAAUCAAGAAAUAGCAUCAAGUGUUGAUGAUUGUCAAGAACACCAGUUUCAAGAAAAGGGCAAAAGGGAAAGAAAGGGAACUUCAAGUAGAAUGACAAGCAAGUUGUCACUCCCACGAAGAAGCCCAAAGCUGGACCAAAGCUUGAAACUGAGUGCUUACACUGCAAAGGAAACGGUCACUUGAAAUAGAAAUGCCCUCAAUAUUUGGUGGACAAGAAGGAUGGCAAAGUGAACAAGGGUAUAUUUGUUGGGGAACGUAGCAGAAAUCAAAAAAAUUCUACACAUCACGAAGAUCAAUCUAUGGAGUAAUCUAGCAACGAGGGAAGGAGAGUGCAUCUACAUACCCUUGUAGAUCGCUAAGAGGAAGCGUUCAAGUGAACGGGGUUGAUGGAGUCGUACUCGUCGUGAUCCAAAUCACCAAUGAUCCUAGUGCCCAACGGACGGCACCUCCGCGUUCAACACACAUGCAGCCCGGUGACGUCUCCCAUGACUUGAUCCAGCAAGGAGAGAGGGAGAGGUUGGGGAAGACUCCGUCCAGCAGCAGCACGACGGCGUGGUGGUGGUGGAGGAGCGUGGCACUCCAGCAGGGCUUCCCCAAGCACCGCGAGAGACGAGGAGGAAGAGAGGUAGGGCUGCGCCAAGAGGAAGAUCAAAUCAUGUGUUGGCAGCCCCAAAGACCUCAAUUAUAUAUAGGGGAGAGGGAGGGGGCUGCUCCCCCUCUAGGGUUCCCACCCCAAGGGGUGCGGCAACCCCUAGAUCCCAUCUAGGGUGCGGCCAAGGGGGGAAAGGGGAAACUUGCCCCCCAAGUAAGGUGGAGGCGCCCCCUCCCCAAACCCUAGGCGCCUUGGGCCCUGGUGGGGGGGGGGGGGCGCACCAGCCCACCUGGGGCUGGUCCCCUCCCACACUUGGCCCAUGCAGCCCUCUGGGGCUGGUGGACCCCCGGGACCCUUCCGGUGGUCCCGGUACGUUACCGAUAGCACCCGAAACUUUUCCGGUGACCAAAACAGGACUUCCCAUAUAUAAAUCUUUACCUCCGGACCAUUUCGGAACUCCUCGUGACGUCCGAGAUCUCACCCGGGACUCCGAACAACAUUCAGUAACCACAUACAUCUAUUCCCUAUAACCCUAGCGUCAUCGAACCUUAAGUGUGUAGACCCUACGGGUUCGGGAGACACGCAGACAUGACCGAGACAACUCUCCGGCCAAUAACCAACAGAGGGAUCUGGAUACCCAUGUUGGAUCCUGCAUGUUCCACGAUGAUCUCAUCGGAUGAACCAUGAUGUCGAGGAUUCAAUCAAUCCCGUAUUCAAUUCCCUUUGUCUAGCGGUAUGGUACUUGCCCGAGAUUUGAUCGUCGGUAUCCCGAUACCUUGUUCAAUCUCGUUACCGGCAAGUCUCUUUACUCAUUCCGUAACACAUCAUCCCGUGAUCAACCCCUUGGUCACAUUGUGCACAUUAUGAUGAUGUCCUACCGAGUGGGCCCAGAGAUACUUCUCCAUCACACGGAGUGACAAAUCCCAGUCUCGAUUCGUGCCAACCCAACAGACACUUUCGGAGAUGCCCGUAGUGCACCUUUAUAGCCACCCAGUUACGUUGUGACGUUUGGUACACCCAAAGCAUUCCUACGGUAUCCGGGAGUUACACAAUCUCAUGGUCUAAGGAAAUGAUACUUGACAUUAGAAAAGCUUUAGCAUACAAACUACACGAUCUUUGUGCUAGGCUUAGGAUUGGGUCUUGUCCAUAACUUCAUUCUCCUAAUGAUGUGAUCCUGUUAUCAACGACAUCCAAUGUCCAUGGUCAGGAAACCGUAACCAUCUAUUGAUCAACGAGCUAGUCAACUAGAGGCUUACUAGGGACAUGGUGUUGUCUAUGUACCCACACAUGUAUCUGAGUUUCCUAUCAAUACAAUUAUAGCAUAGAUAAUAAACGAUUAUCAUGAACAAGGAAAUAUAAUAAUAAUAACUAAUUUAUUAUUGCCUCUAGGGCAUAUUUCCAACAGUCUCCCACUUGCACUAGAGUCAAUAAUCUAGUUCACAUCGCCAUGUGAUUAACACUCGCAGGUCACAUCGCCAUGUGAUCAACAUUCAAAGAGUUUACUAGUGUCACUAAACUAGUUCACAUCAUGUGAUUAAGACUCAAUGAGUUUUGGGGUUUGAUCAUGUUUUUCUUGUGCGAGAGGUUUUAGUCAACGGGUCUGCAACAUUCAGAUCCGUAUGUACUUCGCAAAUCUCUAGGUCAUAUUGUAAAUGCUGCUUCCACGCUCCACUUGGAGCUAUUCCAAAUGGUCGCUCCACUAUACGUAUCCGGUUUGCUACUCAGAGUCAUUCGGAUAGGUGUUAAAGCUUGCAUCGAUGCAACUCUUUAUGUCGAACUCUUUAUCACCUCCAUAACCGAGAAACAUAUCCUUAUUCCUCUAAGGAUAACUUUGACCGCUAUCUGGUGAUCCACUCCUUGAUCACCUUUGUACCGUCUUGCCAGAUAUGUAGCAAGGCACACAUCAGGUGUGGUACACAGCAUAGCAUACUGUAGAGCCUACGUCUAAAGUAUAGGGGACGACCUUCGUCCUUUCUCUCUUUUCUGCCGUGGUCGAGCUUUAAGUCUUAACUUCGUACCUUACAACUCAGGCAAGAACUCCUUCUUUGAUUGAUCCAUCUUGGACACCUUCAAGAUCAUGCCAAGGUAUGUGCUCAUUUGAAAGUACCAUUUAGCGUUUUUGAUCUAUCCUCAUAGAUCUUGAUGCUUAAUGUUCAAGCAGCUUAGUCAAGGUUUUCUAUUGAAAAAUACCUUUCAAAUAACCCUAUAUGCUUUCCAGAAAUUCUACAUCAUUUCUGAUCAAUAAUAUGUUAACAACAUAUACUCAUCAGAAAUUCUAUAGUGCUCCCACUCACUUCUUUGGAAAUACAAGUUUCUCAUAAACAUUUGUACAAACCCAAAAUCUUUGAUCAUCUCAUCAAAGCGUACAUUCCAACUCCGAGAUGCUUACUCUAGUCCUUAGAAGGAUUGCUGGAGCUUUGCAUACUUGUUAGCAUCUUUUAGGAUUGACUAAACCUUUCUGAUUGUAUCACAUACAACCUUUCCUUACGAAAACUGGUAAGGAAACUCGUUUUGGCAUCCAUCUGCCAGAUUUCAUAAAUGCAGCUAAUGCUAAUAUGAUUCCGACAGACUUAAGCAUCACCACAGAUGAGAAAAUCUCAUCGUAGUCAACUCCUUGAACUUGUGAAAACUCUUCGCCACAAGUCGAGCUUCAUAGACAGUGACAUUACCGUCCACGUCCGUCUUCUUCUUAAAGAUCCAUUUAUCUCAAUGGCUUGCCGAUCAUCGGGCAAGUCCACCAAAGUCCAUGCUUUGUUUUGAUACAUGGAUCCUAUCUCGGAUUUCAUGGCUUCUAACCAUUUGUCGGAAUAUGGGCCCACCAUUGCUUCUCCAUAGCUCGUAGAUUCAUUGUUGUCUAGCAACAUGACCUUCAAGACAGGAUUACUGUACCACUCUGAAGUAGUACGCAUCCUUGUCACCCUACGAGGUACGGUAGUGACUUGAUACGAAACUUCAUGAUCACUAUCAUAAGCUUCUACUUCAAUUGGUGUAGGCGCCACGGGAAGAACUUCCUGUGCCCUGCUACACACUAGUUGAAGUGACGGUUCAAUAACCUCAUCAAGUCUCCACCAUCCUCCCACUCAAUUCUUUCGAGAGAAACUUUUCCUCGAGAAAGGACCUGAUUCUAGAAACAAUCCAUUUUGCUUCUGGAACUGAGACUGGAGGCAUACCCAACUGUUUUGGGUGUCCUAUGAAGAUGCAUUUAUCCGCUUUGGGUUAGAGCUUAUCAGCCUGAAAUUUUUUCACAUAAGCGUCGCAGCCCCAAACUUUCAAGAAACGACAACUUAGGUUUCUCCAAACCAUAGUUCAAACUAUGUCAUCUCAACGGAAUUAUGUGGUGCCCUAUUAAAGUGAGUGCGGUUGUCUCUAAUGCCUAACCCAUGAAUGAUAGUGGUAAUUCGAUAAGAGACAUCAUGGUACGCACCAUAUCCAAUAGGGUGCAACUAUGAUGUUCGGACACACCAUCACACUAUGGUGUUCCAGGCGGUAUUAAUUGUGAAACAAUUUCCACAAUGUCUUAAUUGCGUGCCAAAGCUCGUAACUCAGAUACUCAUCUCUAUGAUCAUAUCAUAGACAUUUUAUCCUCUUGUCACGAUGAUCUUCAACCUCACUCUGAAAUUACUUGAACCUUUCAAUAAUUCAGAUUUGUGUUUCAUCAAGUAAACAUACUCAGAAUCUACUCAAAUCAUCUGUGAAGUAAGAACAUAACGAUAUCCACUGCAUGCCUCAACACUCACAAGACUGCACACAUCAAAAUGUAUUACUUCCAACAAGUUGCUUUCUUGUUCCAUUUUACCGAAAACGAGGCUUUCAUUCAUCUUGCCCAAGUGGUAUGAUUUGCAUGUCUCAAGUGAUUCAAAAUCAAGUGAGUCCAAACGGUCCAUUUGCAUGGAGUUUCUUCAUGCAUAUACACCAAUAGACAUGGUUCGCAUGUCUCAAACUUUUCAAAAACGAGUGAGUCCAAAGAUCCAUCAACAUGGAGCUUCUUCAUGCGUUUUAUACCAAUAUGACUUACAUGGCAGUGCCACAAGUAGGUGGUACUAUCAUUACUAUCUUAUAUCUUUUGGCAUGAACAUGUGUAUCACUACGAUCGAGAUUCAAUAAACCAUUCAUUUUAGGUGCAUGACCAUUGAAGGUAUUAUUCAAAUAAACAGAGUAACCAUUAUUCUUCUUAAAUGAAUAACCGUAUUGCAAUAAACAUAAUCCAAUCAUGUCUAUGCUCAACGCAAACACCAAAUAACAAUUAUUUAGGUUUAACACCAAUCUCGAUGGUAGAGAGAGCGUGCGAUGCUUGAUCACAUCAACCUUGGAAACACUUCCAACACAUAUCGUCACCUCGCCUUUAGCUAGUCUCCGUUUAUUUUGUAGCCUUUUAUUUCGAGUUACUAACAUUUAGCAACCGAACCGGUAUCUAUUACCAUGGUGCUACUAGGAGUACUAGUAGAGUACACAUUAAUAUAAUGUAUAUCCAAUAUACUUCUAUCGACCUUGCCUGCCUUCUUAUCUACCAAGUAUCUAGGGUAAUUCCGCUCCAGUGACCGUUCCCCUUAUUACAGAAACACUUAGUCUCGGGUUUGGGUUCAACCUUGGGUUACUUCACUAGAGCAGCAGCUGAUUUGCCAUUUCAUGAAGUAUCCCUUCUUGCCCUUGCCCUUCUUGAAACUAGUGGUUUCACUAACCAUCAACAAUUGAUGUUCCUUCUUGAUUUCUACUUUCGCGGUGUCAAACAUCACGAAUAUUUCAAGGAUCAUCAUAUCUAUCCCUGAUAUGUUAUAGUUCAUCACGAAGCUCUAGCAGCUUGGUGGCAAUCACUUUGGAGAAACAUCACUAUCUCAUCUGGAAGAUCAACUCCCACUCGAUUCAAGUGAUUGUUGUACUCAGACAAUCCGAGCACAAGCUCAACGAUUGAGAAUUCCUCCCUUACUUUGCAGGCUAAGAAAAUCGUCGGAGGUCUUAUACCUCUUGACGUAGGCACGAGCCUGAAAUCCCAAUUUCAGUCCUCGAAACAUCUCAUAUGUUCCGCGAUGUUUCAAAAUCAUCUUUGGUGCCUCAACUCUAAACCAUUUAACUGAACUAUCACGUAGUUAUCAAAAUGUGUAUGUCAGAUGUUCGCAACAUCCACAGACGACGUUCGAGGUUCAGCACACUGAGCGGUGCAUUAAGCCUUCUAUGAAGCAACGAGGACAAUCCUCAGUUUACCGACCUAGUCCGCAUAAUCGCUACUAUCAACUUUCAACUAUAUUUUCUCAUAUCUAAACAGUAGAACUAAAGCGCGAGCUAUGACAUAAUUUGCAAAAACCUUUUGACUAUGUUCAGGAUAAUUAAGUUCAUCUAAUGAAUUCCCACCCAUAUAGACAUCCCUCUAGUCAUCUAAGUGAUUACAUGAUCCGAGUCAACUAGGCCGUGUCCGAUCAUCACGUGAGACGGACUAGUCAUCAUCGGUGAACAUCUUCAUGUUGAUCGUAUCUACCAUACGACUCAUACUCGACCUUUCGGUCUCUUGUGUUCCGAGGCCAUGUCUGUACAUGCUAGGCUCGUCAAGUCAACCUAAGUGUUUCACGUGUGUAAAUCUGGCUUAGACCCGUUGUAUGUGAACGUUAGAAUCUAUCACACCCGAUCAUCACGUGGUGCUUCGAAACAACGAAUUUUGCAACGGUGCACAGUUAGGGGGAACACUUUCUUGAAAUUUUAAUGAGGGAUCAUCUUAUUUACUACCGUAGUUCUAAGCAAAUAAGAUGCAUAAAUAUGAUAAACAUCACAUGCAAUCAAAAAGUGACAUGAUAUGGCCAAUAUCAUUUUGCUCCUUUUGAUCUCCAUCUUCGGGGCUCCAUGAUCAUCAUCGUCACUGGCAUGACACCAUGAUCUCCAUCAUCAUGAUCUCCAUCAUCGUGUCUCCAUGAAGUUGUCUCGCCAACUAUUACUUCUACUACUAUGGCUAACAGUUUAGCAAUAAAGUAAAGUAAUUACAUGGCGUUGUUCAAUGACACGCAGGUCAUACAAUAAAUUAAGACAACUCCUAUGGCUCCUACCGAUUGUCAUACUCAUCGACAUGCAAGUCGUGAUUCCUAUUACAAGAACAUGAUCAAUCUCAUACAUCACAUAUCAUUCAUCAUAUUCUUUUGGCCAUAUCACAUCACAUAGCAUACCCUGCAAAAACAAGUUAGACGUCCUCUAAUUGUUGUUUACAUGUUUUACGUGGCUGUUAUGGGUUUCUAGCAAGAACGUUUCUUACCUACGCUAAACCACAACGUGAUAUGCCAAUUGCUAUUUACCCUUCAUAAGGACCCUUUUCAUCGAAUCCGAUCCGACUAAAGUGGGAGAGACUGGCACCCGCUAGCCACCUUAUGCAACAAGUGCAUGUCAGUCGGUGGAACCUGUCUCACAUAAGUGUACGUGUAAGGUCGCUCUGGGCCGCUUGAUCCCACAAUACCGUCGAAACAAUAUUGGACUAGUAAUGGUAAGCAUAUUGAACAAAAUCAACGCCCACAACAACUUGUGUUCUACUCGUGCAUAGAAACUACGCAUAGACCUAGCUCAUGAUGCCACUGUUGGGGAACGUAGCAAAAAUCAAAAAAAAUUCUACACAUCACCAAGAUCAAUCUAUGGAGUAAUCUAGCAACGAGGGAAGGAGAGUGCAUCUACAUACCCUUGUAGAUCGCUAAGCGGAAGCAUUCAAGUGAACAAGGUUGAUGGAGUCGUACUCGCCGUGAUCCAAAUCACCGAUGAUCCUAGUGCCGAACGGAUGGCACCUCCGCGUUCAACACACAUGCAGCCCGGUGACGUCUCCCAUGCCUUGAUCCAGCAAGGAGAGAGGGAGAGGUUGGGGAAGACUCCGUCCGGCAGCAGCACGAUGGCGUGGUGGUGGUGGAGGAGCGUGGCACUCCAGCAGGGCUUCGCCAAGCACUGCGAGAGACGAGGAGGAAGAGAGGUAGGGCUGCGCCAAGAGGAAGAUCAAAUCAUGUGUUGGCAGCCCCAAAGACCUCAACUAUAUAUAGGGGAGAGGGAGGGGCUGUGCCCCCUCUAGGGUUCCCACCCCAAGGGGUGCGGCAGCCCCUAGAUCCCAUCUAGGGUGCGGCCAAGGGGGGGAGAGGGGAAACUUGCCCCCCAAGUAAGGUGGAGGCGCCCCCUCCCCAAACCCUAGGCGCCUUGGGCCCUGGUGGGGGGGGGGCACCAGCCCACCAGGGGCUGGUCCCCUCCCACACUUGGCCCAUGCAGCCCUCUGGGGCCGGUGGCCCCACCUGGUGGACCCCCGGGACCCUUCCGGUGGUCCCGGUACGUUACCGAUAGCACCCGAAACUUUUCCGGUGACCAAAACAGGACUUCCCAUAUAUAAAUCUUUACCUCCGGACCAUUUCGGAACUCCUCGUGACGUCCGAGAUCUCACCCGGGACUCCGAACAACAUUCAGUAACCACAUACAUCUAUUCCCUAUAACCCUAGCGUCAUCGAACCUUAAGUGUGUAGACCCUACGGGUUCGGGAGACACGCAGACAUGACCGAGACAACUCUCCGGCCAAUAACCAACAGAGGGAUCUGGAUACCCAUGUUGGAUCCUGCAUGUUCCACGAUGAUCUCAUCGGAUGAACCACGAUGUCGAGGAUUCAAUCAAUCCCGUAUUCAAUUCCCUUUGUCUAGCGGUAUGGUACUUGCCCGAGAUUUGAUCGUCGGUAUCCCGAUACCUUGUUCAAUCUUGUUACCGGCAAGUCUCUUUACUCGUUCCGUAACACAUCAUCCCGUGAUCAACCCCUUGGUCACAUUGUGCACAUUAUGAUGAUGUCCUACCGAGUGGGCCCAGAGAUACCUCUCCGUCACACGGAGUGACAAAUCCCAGUCUCGAUUCGUGCCAACCCAACAGACACUUUCGGAGAUGCCCAUAGUGCACCUUUAUAGCCACCUAGUUACGUUGUGACAUUUGGUACACCCAAAGCAUUCCUACGGUAUCCGGGAGUUGCACAAUCUCAUGGUCUAAGGAAAUGAUACUUGACAUUAGAAAAGCUUUAGCAUACGAACUACACGAUCUCUGUGCUAGGCUUAGGAUAGGGUCUUGUCCAUCACAUCAUUCUCCUAAUGAUGUGAUCCCUUUAUCAACGACAUCCAAUGUCCAUGGUCAGGAAAUUGUAACCAUCUAUUGAUCAACGAGCUAGUCAACUAGAGGCUUACUAGGGACAUGGUGUUGUCUAUGUACCCACACAUGUAUAUGAGUUUCCUAUCAAUACAAUUAUAGCAUGGAUAAUAAACGAUUACCAUGAACAAGGAAAUAUAAUAAUAAUAACUAAUUUAUUAUUGCCUCUAGGGCAUAUUUCUAACAAUAUUUGAUAUACAGGUUAUUGAUGUGUGCCUUACUAGUGUUUAUAGUAGCCCCUGAGUAUUUGAUACUUGUUCGGUUGCUAAGAUUAGUAACUCGAAACAGGAGUUACAUAAUAAACAUAGACUAGUUGAAGGGGAAGUGACGAUAGUGUUGGAAGUAGUUCCAAGAUUGAUAUGAUCAUCAUCACACACUCCCUAUAUUUUUGAUAUAAGUGUUAAACCUAAAUAAAUCUUAUUUGGUGUUUGCGUUGAGCAUAAAUAUGAUAAGAUCAUGUUUAUUGCGAUACUAUUAUUCAUCUAAGAUAGAGAAUAAAUUGUUAUUCUGUUUACAUGAAUAAAACCUUCUAUGGUCAUACACCCAAUGGUGAUGGUUUAUUGAAUCUUGAUCAUAGUGAUACACAUAUUCAUAAUGUUGAUGCCAAAAGAUGCAAAGUUAAUAAUGAUAGUGCAGCUUAUUUGUGGCACUGCCGUUUGGGUCAUAUCGGUGUAAAGCGCAUGAAGAAACUCCAUAAAGAUGGAUUUUCGGAAUCACUUGGUUAUGAAUCAUUUGAUGCUUGUGAACCGUGCCUUUUGGGCAAGAUGACUAAAACUCUGUUCUCCGGAACAAUGGAGCGAGCAACUGACUUAUUGGAAAUAAUACAUACUGAUGUAUGCAAUCCAAUGAGUGUUGAGGCUCGCGGUAGGUAUCGUUAUUUUUUGACCUUCACAGAUGAUUUGAGCAGAUAUGGGUAUAUCUACUUGAUGAAACAUCAGUCUGAAAUAGUUGAAAGGUUCAAAGAAUUUCAGAGUGAAGUGGAGAAUCAUCGUAACAAGAAAAUAAAGUUUCUACAAUCUGAUCAUGGAGGAGAAUAUUUGAGUUACGAGUUUGGCCUUCAUUUUUAAACAAUGUGGAAUAGUUUCACAGCUCACGUCACAUGGAACACCACAGCAUAAUGGUGUGUCUGAACGUUGUAACCGCACUUUAUUGGAUAUGGUGCGAUCUAUGAUGUAUCUUACCGAUUUACCACUAUCGUUUUGGGGUUAUGCAUUAGAGAUAGCUGCAUUCACUUUAAAAGGGCGCCAUCUAAAUCCAUUGAGACGACACCGUAUGAACUAUGGUUUAGCAGUAAACCUAAGUUGUCGUUUCUUAAAGUUUGGAGUUGCGAUGCUUAUGUAAAAAAAAGGUUUUCAGCCUGAUAAGCUCGAACCCAAAUUGGAGAAGUGCGUCUUCAUAGAAUACCCAAAGGAAACUGUUGGGUACACCUUCCAUCACAGAUCCGAAGGCAAAAACAUUCGUUUCUAAGAAUGGAUCCUUUAUAGAGAAGGAGUUUCUCUCGAAAGAAGUGAGUGGGAGGAAAGUAGAGCUUGAUAAGGUAAUUUGUACCUUCUCCCAAAUUGGAAAGUAGUUCAUCACAGAAAUCGGUUCCAGUGAUUCCUACACCAAUUAGUGAGGAAGAUAAUGAUGAUGAUCAUGAAACUUCAGAUUAAGUUACUACAAAACCUCGUAGGUCUUCCAAAGUACAGUCCGCACCAGAGUGGUACGGUAAUCCUGUUCUGGAAGUCAUGUUACUAGACCAUGAUGAACCUACAAACUAUGAGGAAGCGAUGAUGAGCCCAGAAAUGGCUUGAGGCCAUGAAAUAUGAGAUGGGAUCCAUGUACGAGAACAAAGUGUGGACUUUGGUGGAGUUGCCCGAUGAUCCGCAAGCCAUAUUGUAUAAAUGGAUCUUCAAGUGGAAGACAGACGCUGAUAGUAGUGUUACUAUCUACAAAUCUCGACUUGUCGCAAAAAGGUUUUCGACAAGUUCAAGGUGUUGACUACAAUGAGAUUUUCUCAGCUGUAGCGAUGCUUAAGUCUGUCCGAAUCAUGUUAGCAAUUGCCACAUUUUAUGAAAUCUGGCAAAUGAAUGUCAAAACUGCAUUCCUUAAUGGUUUUCUUAAAGAAGAUUUGUAUACGAUGCAACUAGAAGGUUUUAUCAAUCCUAAAGGUGCUAACAAAAUGUGCAAGCUCCAGCGAUCCAUCUAUGGACUGGUGCAAGCAUCUCAGAGUUGGAAUAUACGCUUUGACAAGUUGAUCAAGGCAUAUAGUUUUAUACAGACUUGCGGUGAAGCCUGUAUUUACAAUAAAGUGAGUGGGAGCACUACCGCAUUUCUGAUAAAUAUAUGUGAGUAACAUAUUGUUGAUCAGAAAUGAUGUAGAAUUUUUCUGGAAAGCAUAAAGGAGUAUUUGAAAGGAGUUCUUUAAAAGAAAGACCUCAGUAAAGCUACUUACAUAUUGAGCAUCAAGAUCUAUUGAGAUAGAUCAAGACGCUUGAUAAGUUUUUCAAUAACUACAUACCUUGUCAAGAUUUUGAAGUAGUUCAAAAUGGAACAGUCAAAGAAAGAGUUCUUGCCUGUGUUGCAAAGGUGUGAAAUUGAGUAAGACUCAAAUCCUGACCAUGGCAGAAAAUAGAAAAGAGAAUGAAAGUCAUUCCCUAUGCCUUAGUCAUAGGUUCUAUAAAGUAUGCUAUGCUAUGUACCAGACCUAUUGUAUACCUUGCUCUGAAUUUGGCAAGGGAGUACAAUAGUGAUCUAGGAGUAGAUCACUGGACAUUGGUCAAGAAUAUCCUUAGUGAGGACUAAGGAAAUAUUUCUCGACUAUAGAGGUGAUAAAAGAGCCCAUCGUAAAAAGUUACAUCGGUGCAAGCUUUUACACCGAUCCAGAUGACUCUAAGUCUCAAUCUGGAUACAUAUUGAAAGUGGGAGCAAUUAGCUAGAGUAGCUCCGUGCAGAGCAUUGUAGACAUAGAAUAUUUGAAAGUUACAUACGACUCUGAAUGUGACAGACCCGUUGACUAAGCUUCUCUCACGAGUAAAACAUGAUCACACCUUAGUACUCUUUGGGUGUUAAUCACAUAGCGAUGUGAACUAGAUUAUUGACUCUAGUAAACCCUUUGGGUGUUGGUCACAUGACGAUGUGAACUAUGGGUGUUAAUCGUAUACAGAUAUGAAUAUUGAUGUUAAAUCACAUGGUGAUGUGAACUAGAUUAUUGACUCUAGUGCAAGUGGGAGACUGAAGGACAUAUGCCCUAGAGGCAAUAAUAAAGUUAUUAUUUAUUUCCUUAUAUCAUGAUAAAUGUUUAUUAUUCAUGCUAGAAUUGUAUUAACCGAAAACAUAAUACAUGUGUGAAUACAUAGACAAACUUAAUGUCACUAGUAUGCAUCUACCUGACUAGCUCAUUAAUCAAAGAUGGUUAUGUUUCCUAACCAUAGACAUGAGUUGUCAUUUGAUUAAUGGGAUCACAUCAUUAGUAGAAUGAUGUGAUUGACAUGACCCAUUCCGUUAGCUUAGCACUUGAUCGUUUAGUAUGUUGCUAUUGCUUUCUUCAUGACUUAUACAUGUUCCUACAACUAUGAGAUUAUGCAACUCCCGUUUACCGGAGGAACACUUUGUGUGCUACCAAACGUCACAACGUAGCUGGGUGAUUAUAAAGGAGCUCUACAGGUGUCUCCAAAGGUACAUGUUGAGUUGGCAUAUUUCGAGAUUAGGUUUUGUCACUCCGAUUGUCGGAGAGGUAUCUUUGGGCCCUCUCGGUAAUGCACAUCACUAUAAGCCUUGCAAGCAAUGUAGCUAAUGAGUUAGUUACGGAAUGAUGCAUUACAUUACGAGUAAAGAGACUUGCCGGUAACAAGAUUGAACUAGGUAUUGGGAUACCGACGAUCGAAUCUCGGGCAAGUAACAUACCGAUGACAAAGGGAACGACGUAUGUUGUUAUGCGGUUUGAUCGAUAAAGACCUUCGUAGAAUAUGUAGGAGCCAAUAUGGGCAUCUAGGUUCCGCUAUUGGUUAUUGACCAGAGAGAUGUCUCGGUCAUGUCUACAUAGUUCUCGAACCCGUAGGGUCCGCACGCUUAACGUUCGUUGACGAUAUAGUAUUAUAUGAGUUAUGUAUGUUGGUAACCAAAUGUUGUUCGGAGUCCCGGAUGAGAUCACGGACAUGACGAGGAACUCCGAAAUGGUUCGGAGAUAAAGUUUGAUACAUGGGAUAAUAGUGUUUGAUCUCCGGAAGGGUUCCGGAAUUCACCGGAAGGGGUUCCGGAUGUUUUCUGAAAUGUUUGGGUACGAGAACGCAUUAUUUGGGCCAAAGGGGAAAGCCCACGAGGCUUUUGGAAAGUGCAAAAGGAAGUUUUGCGGAGACCAAAGGCUAGACGCCAGGAACCCUGGCGUCUAGGGGGUAGACGCCGGGAACCCUGGUGUCUAGCCCUGGAGUCCGUGUAGGACUCUUGCCUUUCGGGCAAAACCGACUUUGAGGAGGCUUUUACUCCAAGUUUCGACCUCAGGGCUCAACAUAUAAAUAUAGGGGCAGGGCUAGCACCAAAGACACAUCAAGAAAUACCAGGCCGUGUGCCGGCAACCCCGUCCCCUCUAGUUUAUCCUCCGUAAUAGUUUCCGUAGUGCUUAGGCGAAGCCCUGCGGAGAUUGUUCUUCACCAACACUGUCACCACGCCGUCGUGCUGCCGAAACUCAUCUACUACUUCGCCCGUCUUGCUGGAUCGAGAAGGCGAGGACGUCAUCGAGCUGAACGUGUGCAGAACUCGAAGGUGCCGUGCAUUCGGUACUUGGAUCGGUCGAAUCGUGAAGACGUACGACUACAUCAACCGCGUUGAUAAACGCUUCCGCUUAGCGAUCUUCAAGGGUAUGAAGAUACACUCUCCCUCUUGUUGCUAUGCAUAACCAUGAUCUUGAGUGGGCGUAGGAAAUUUUUGAAAUUACUAUGUUCGUCAACACGGCGGCUGGUGGCGGGGAUGGGAAUACACGUGCCUCCGCUUUGGUUAGUAGUUUAGACUAGGUUUUUUUAGUCCUCAUAGGCGCGGUGCUCGGGAGGAUAGCGGCGUUUCUUCUUCAAGUUUGUCUGCCGGGCUCCGAUCCUUCUCCUGUUCAUACAUCUGGACUUUGUCAACGGAGUUCCGGCGUAGAUUCACGUUUUCUUCUUGGGAUACUGAGGUUAGUGUUUCUCGUCAUGUGACGAGAUUUGGUGCUUGGUGCUUCAGAUCUAUUCAAGAGUUCAACGACGAUGACUAUGGCUCCAGGGCGCUGGUUCUUAGGGCCCCAUGCGCGAAGACUUCCCAGCUGUCAUCGACAAGGUCAAGCUGGGUCCGAUAGAGGAGUGGUGGCAACGGCUCGUUGCCGGCUCGUUCUCAUGGUGAUAGUGGUCGUCCGGUGGUUUCGGAAUCUCAUUGUAGUUUUUAUUAUGUUCGUGCUUUCUACUUCCAGUGAACUUUGAUAAUGAUCUGGAUCAUUCCCCCCCAAAAAAUGCAUACGAAAUGCUACUUAUAUUCUAUAGAUAUUUGCUAUAUAACAAUCAUAGAUAAUAAAUCAUAGCAUGUAUUUUCAGCUUCCAUUUCUAUAUCCAAAUUCCAAACAACCAAACAUCAAAAUGCAUUGUAAUUCAAUCCUACACCAAUGCGCGAGAUAUCAUCUACUCAAGACACUGACACAUGAGUAACUCCAUUAUUGGAUGUCACCUGUAGGCAUCAGCCAACCAGACCAGCCGUCGAAUCGACGAUCUUUUGGGCUAAAGCGACGCGCCAUUUUUGUCCGGAUGAUCCAACACGAAAGUAAACACCUGAUAAUAUACGCAUCGGUCGCUGCCUAGGCCGCACCCACGUCAAUUCUGCUCUCACGCCUGCAUGUGGUAGACUGGUAGUAUCUAAUUAUCCUCGACAAGUUUACAGCAUGCAUCACGUGCUCUGUACACAGCGCGCUGUGCAAAUUGCGGCCGUCCAGUAAGAAAUUAAGAAUCCGAGGCCGGUCAGCUCGUCCUGUAAUUAUAUAGCCCCUCCUUUGCUGUCACGAGGUGCCUUCAUCACAAAGGGCAACGUUUCGCCCGUGCCUCUAUUCUUUCACCGUUAAUUUGUUGUUUUCAUUAUUACUUUGACAGCGUACUCGACGUGCAGGGCUAUUUUUUUUCUUUAGCAGACACGAGUUUUUUUAUAGCAAUGCUUGAUGCAUGACAUUUUAUACCCGAUGGAUGUCCAACGAGUUUUUUUUUUGCGGGGUACAACGAGUUGUAGUAGCCACCCAUCAGAGUAUGUAUGCGGCUCACAACCGUUGAUUAGAGUGCCGUGUGUAUCAUCAGGCAGAAAAGUGUCGUGUGCAUAGUCAUUCCGAAUUUUUUUUCUAUUUGCCGGACUGGUCAUCGCAGCGAGACGUUAGUUUUCCACCUAAAAACCAGACAGCCUUAACACAUGAUGAAUCUGUUGUUCCAAGCAAUUUUAAAUGCAAAUUUGACAUCACAAAUCUUUAGACAAAGAUGAAAAAGGUUAACCUUUUGGUUUAGUAUUUGUAAAAUGCACACUUCAUAUUGACCUACUCGAAUAUAACUCAAAAGAAAAAAAAUGGGCGUAACAUAAAAUUCCCAAAAAGAUACGGAUAUCUACAAGACGGCAGAUACAGGUCGAUUGAUCUAUCUGCUCACAAUUUUUCUCAUUUCAAAUUGUAAAGUAUACCCAUUACAAACCUCAUGUUUGUGUCGGUCAAAUGUACAUACCAAGAAAACAGCAAAUCUAAGUUUGAACAGAUGAAAAUAUAUUUUGAAACAGAGACCUUGGGUCGUGAUCAGGUAUUGCGAAACUGAUGAAGUGUCCUGUCUAUGUCUAAAUAAUGUAUACAUACAAAAAAAAUAUGCAUAACCAUCAGCGUAUCUCGUCAAAUCCACUAAAACUAGAGUUGAAAACCCCCAGCACUCUUCCGAUUGGUAACUUGAUGAAAUAAUCUUUGUUUAGUAGCCGGAUAAAUAAUUAGGAUUGGUUGAUGAGUGUAACCCCAUGAUACCUUGAUCUGGCAAUGAUCCUCGCACGGAAUUUGUUAGAGUUGUGUCGAAUAUUGUGUACAAGGUAGGUUAUAGUUGGACUUGUAGUUGUAUUGUGUUUAGAUAGGAUAUGGAGUCGUGUCCUAGUAGGACACUUGUAUCCUAGGCCUCUCAUAUAUAGUGGGGGUAGACACACGAUGUAACAUAUGCCAACAUAAUAGCACAGGCGCGCAAAGGGAGCCGGUGGCGUGUGCCGGCGCCCGGGUGGCCAGUGUGCGGUAUUGUGACGGUGUCACGGGGAGGAGCGCCCGUAGUCAGGCCCCGGGGAUGUAGCCAUAUCGGUGAACCUCGUUAACAAAUCUCAGUGUCGUGCCUAGUGUGAUUGCUUGGUCCUCGGAUGAUCAACGGUAUGCCUCAGAUUUAUUUUAACAAGUGGUAUCAUGAGCAAGGUUAUGAAGAGGUUGUGGAUUAUUGAUCUAGAGGUGAAACAUCGUGGAAGAAUUAUCGUCGGCGGUCGUGAGAAUUCAUUGUCGAAGCUAGGGCUAUCGUUUUGAGGAAUUUCCCUCGUGGGAGCUAUCGGUUUGCGGCUGGGUAGACCGAAAAAAAAAA
This 47565-nucleotide long non-coding RNA is filed under the name Triticum aestivum (bread wheat). RNAcentral's name for it is "long non-coding RNA (TAES_LNC002674)". The stretch from base 7901 to 7974 matches the Rfam family "tRNA". Lineage: Eukaryota; Viridiplantae; Streptophyta; Magnoliopsida; Poales; Poaceae. The record is from RNAcentral.